Molecule: long non-coding RNA, 44995 nt
Filed under: Salvia miltiorrhiza (redroot sage)
Lineage: Eukaryota; Viridiplantae; Streptophyta; Magnoliopsida; Lamiales; Lamiaceae
Description: long non-coding RNA (SMIL_LNC005395)
Source: RNAcentral
UGCACGGCUGCGGCGGCGGCGAUUGCUGACUGGGGACACGGGCGGCGGCGGCGAACGGCGAGGCGAUUGUUGACUGGGGACACGGGCGAGGGUUGCGGUGGGAGUUGCGGCGACGGCGGGGCUGGACUCUGGUGUGGGCGAGGGGCGGGGCGGCCGGGCUGGCGAGGAGCGAGGGGCGACGGCUCUGGAGUGAGAGCCGAGAGGUUAGGAGUUUGGGAUUGAAGAAUAUUUUCAGGGGUUAGAUUGAUUUGGAUUGAGGUGAGGGCCGGCGGGCUGGGUUGGAGUUUGGGAAUUGAUUUGGAUUUUGGGGGAAAGUACAAAGCAGUACAGGGGCGGGUGGGAAAGUACAAAGCAGUUUGGGAAUUAGAUUUAGAAUAUUUUUCAUAUUUAAUUUAAUUAAAUAGUUUAAAAUUUAUUAAUUAAAAAAUCGGGUAAUUCGGGUAUACCCGAUACCCGAUUUUUUCACACCCUAAAUACCCGACCCCGACCCCGAUCCCGAAUUUUUCGGGUAUAGGGUACCCGAUACCCGAUUUUUUCGGGUCGGGUAUCGGGUACCCGAUUACCCGAUCCCGAAAUUCCCAGCCCUAUAAACACUAUACAAAAUACUUCAUUCAUCCUAUUAGUAUAAUGUUCUACAAUUACUUUUGGCACGGAUAUUAAAAAAAAGUGUAGUUAGUGUAUAAAGUUAGUUGGUGGAAGAUAUUGGAUAAUUAUUUUAAGUAAGUUGAUGUAUAAAAUGAGUUGGAUCCACCAGUAAUAAUAUUUUAAAGGGUUAAAUGCAUGUAAUAUCACUAACUUUGAUCGAAUUCAAAUCUAGCACGAAUUUACAAAAUUCCAUUUUUACAUACCAACUUUAAUCCAUAUUCAAUUUUUGCACCAAUUUGUUCUCCGGUGGUGUAAAAAAGAAAAAGACACGUGGUGAUGACACGUCUUCCAAAUGACGUGCGGAUAAAUAGAACAUUGUCAUAUAAGUUAAUUGCGAUUCGACAACGUUGAAUCAGUUAGGAGAUGUGAACGACGUCGUUUUCAAUCUUAUGAUGUAAUCUGAUUUUGGCCCAAAUAGAUUUAGGGAUUUUCAUAUUCCCUAGGAGUUGUACAUGCUUCGAGGACUGUCAUCUUUCUCUCACGUCGUAAUUGAAGAUUCCAACACAAAGAAAGUUCAUUUCAAGUAGCUUAUAGUUGUUUAAUCGGUGUGUGGUCCCUGAAGAAUACGUCGGGGAAGGCAACCGCUGCAGAAGGUGGUCCUUACUUGAAGGAAAGCGUUGUAUUCGUAUGGUAUUAAUGUCCGAAUUAUGUACGGGAUCUCCAGAAUUCUGUGCAUAACUUGGCUCCAUUUUUUGAGCAUCGAAACUGUGCACAACAUGUGUAUUGUAACUAAAAGAAGAAAUUUAAAGGAACAACCUUAAAGAACAUCUUUUGAAAAACAGUAAGGAGCACAUAUCAAGAAGAAUCAGAAGACCAUGAGACAAGAACGACGAAUUAGAAGACAUCAUGCUUAGGAGGCUUCGAAAGGAAGAAGAUGACACUCUCUUAUAGCUUAGAAACAUGAGAGAUACGAGAGAUAGAUGAGUGAAGAAGAAAUAAAAUUAGGGUUCUAAUGUGUGUAAUGUAUUGAUUUAUAUUUGUUUCAUAUUUCAUUUAAAACGAUAAAGUUUUAAAGCUAACAAAACACAACGUUUUGCUCGUCGGCCAAAAAAUACUAAAGCGUGUGCCGACAGGCCACAUCAAUGACACAUUGAUACGAGGAAAAAGAGAAAAGCAAUGACCUAAUAACAAUCAUUGAGAGUACAGACUUUAGGCCUUGUUUUUUUUUUUUUUUUGAGUAAGACUUUAGGCCUUGUUAAAACCUGUUUAAAGAAAAUUCCAUAGAAAAAACUUUAAGGAGAAAAAGACGCGUGUCUAUAAAAAAUAAAUAAAUUAUGUAGUGUUUGAGAGGAUUCCUGGAUUCGAACUGUCUAUAACUUUUGUUCAUAAUCAACAAACCACAAAUUAAUCACACUUAUAUCAUUGGCGAAUGGCGAUAAAUAGGAACUAACCACAAACUUAACGCUAAUAUCUCCCAUUAAUUAUUUUGUGCUUACACAAAAUUGCACGGUAUUUAUGAUCAUUUUGGAUUUGUUAUAUAAUUAGACCUGAUCAAGGUUAUGGAGCUCAUAGAUCUUAUGUAUUUUGUAAAUUUAUAAACCCGAAUGUAAAUCCAAUACUAUAUAAAUACAAUCUAGAUAUCCAAUUGGUCAUAUGCGAACAUAAUUUUCAAAUUUACACAUUUAAUUUCUUAGGUCAUUUAGUAGCACAUAUCGAAUGUAUUUCAUCGAGGACACCUACUAUAAUGGUAAAUGGCUUCUCUCACCACGGCCUUUUUGAUUUCUCGAUACCUUUGCUGUCCACAAAAAAGAAAGAAAAAAACUUUAGAAAUAGAGAUUGGGAUGCAAAAUUUAAGAAAAAUUAAGGUAUACUUAAUUAAUGAGAAGAGAAACAUUACAGUACCAUAAGGUAAUGAGAUGAGAAGAAAGUCAAUAGACUACCAGCAUAUCUAUAAAGAAACGUAAGAGUUGGAAUUUAAUUUGUGAAAUUGUAGAAGGAAAAAUCAAAGUAGGAAGAAGAAAGUGAGGUAGCGUACGAGUGAUUCGACGCGUGGACAACCAUCGAGAAUGGCUUGAUAGCCUUUAUUGGUGAUGGUGGAUCCGAAAAAGCCAAGGCGAAGAUGAACCAAAUUGGGCAUCACUUUUGCAAUGGCUACUAAAUAAUCGUUGCCAUUCCCCACUCCUGAAACGGCGUCGUGUUUGAUGAGCGUGAAGGACCUCAAGCUCAAGCACUCAACGCCGAUGGCCUCCACGUCUUCCACCACCAUUUGGUUCAUGAACAAUAUGUGCAACUCUUCUAGCUCUCUGAAUCUCUUCGCCGCCGAGCUCACCCCUUUUCCCGACACAUUCUUGCAGCACGACAGCCGCAGACGUUUCAGCUUACUUGAUCUAAAUUCAAAUUCAAAAUUAAAUCACUACCAACAAUUUCAAUUUCAAUUUCAAUUUUACCUUUGGGAAAUGUAGUGAAGAAGUUCAUCGUUGCCGAAUACUCAAUAUUAAUGUCCAUCAGAUCCCCGCCGCUCCGGUCCACGGCGCGCCGACACAUGCUCCCGAGGCGGCGCGUGUCGUAGCAUGACCCCGAGUUCUUCACGUCCACGACGCGCCACAUGCUCGGCUCACGGCACACGCUCCGCCACGUCUUGCACACCUUCUCCGCCGUCUCCAGCAUCUCCGCCGCUCCCAGCCUGUGCAGGAUAUCCGCCGUCACGUCUAACGGCAGAUCGAUCCACGGCGCGAACGACGGAGGAGCCUCCGCCGCCGGACUUUUCUGCUCCGGCAACUUUCCAAAUCUGAACCUCUUUCUCCGCCAUGGCGGGAAAGAGUGGAAAGUCACGGAAAGAGUGUGAUUUGCGUUGUGGGAUUUGAAUAUAUAUUAUAAUAACCGAGGAGAUUAAUUUUUUCGAAUCACCAAAUUAAAAUUCAAUUUGAAGAACAAGUGAACAACCCUGAUCGAUGUAUGUUCAUUUAAAAAAAUCGUACCUUGUACCAUGUUACGAUCUUCUCAAAUUUGAUCUUGAUCUUGAUUCGAGUUUUUGGAUCUUCCAUCUUGAGUCCUUAAUUUCUCAUAUAAGGGAUGAUGGAGAAAUAUAUGUUAAUAAGUUGUCGAUCUCAUCGUGAAUUUUAUUUGAAAUUUGGGGGAAAGAGCAAUUUAUUACUAUACCUUGAGAUAUGACUACAUUUUGAUUGAGCUUUGAAUCAUAGAUUUCGCAUGUUGUGCAGGCAAUGCAUCAUCCACGAAUUUUGUAUUCUAUCUCUGUUAUGUGUUCUUCAGAUAUACAGUGUGUGCAAUAUAUACGUGUUAUGCUAUAUCACAUAUACGUGUCAUGUUAUCUAUAUAUUACAAAAAAUAGUCUAUUUUUACCAUUUUUGAAUACCUAUAAAGAUUAGUCUCUUUGAAAUAAAUGAGGAGGGCGAUGCUUAACGAUGCUCUUUGUUUUGGUGGUUGGGCUUCGUCCCACAUACUAGUUCAGCCCAAAAUCAGCACAAAGAAUUGCAUUUGUUGAUAAUAUCAUUCUCCUUUAUCCUUCCUAACCUCACUUGAUUCAUUGUGUAAAUGCUAAUAAUCACUUGCGAUCUAGUGUUUUUAUUUUUUGGGUUCUAUCACUUUUUAUUUUUAUUCAUUUUUGUUUCUUUCUUCCGUUUCAAUAUAUUGUGUUUUGGUGUAAUUCGUACUUGUUAGUUACACUAUGAUAUAUUGUCUUUUAGCAUUUAAUUUUAUUUUUUACUAGUUAAUAAAGUUGAAGCAAAUAACGAGAAAAAAUCAGUUAGUUAAGCUCACUCACUCAUUUUCGAACUCUUUUCAGUUAGUCCUUAAUUAGUUACGGAUUAUUCGGGCUAAAAAAUCAGUUAGUCCUAUCGAACUCUUUUCAGGCCAAUCCUACGGAUUGUGGUGUUCUUAGUUACGGGUUAUUCGGGCUAAAAAAAUUUCACUCAUAAUUUUAUUGAAGAUUCGUGUAGUGGUUUGGAAUUCUGUUGGAUUUUUUUAGACUUUAAAAAAUUUAUGAAUUUUCGUGGAUUUAGGAAAUCUAUAGACUCUAUGCAUAGUUUUGCUGACUUUUUUUUAUUGACUUUCAUGAAUUUUCAUCGACUUGAUAGGAAUUAGAAAGGCAGCAACCCAGCGCCUCCUGGAGCCCUGCUACCACUAGAAAACGCUCAUAAACGUGAAAGGAGGUCUAAAUGGAUCAUGCACGCAGUCUAGAGAAGAUGAGAGAUGAGGGAAGAGAUGUCAAAAUCAAAAAAUCAUACUUCGCUUUAGGUAAAUUAAAAAAAUAAAACAUUACAUAUGCCAGCAACGUGUGACAAACUUGGUGGAAAAAAAAACGGUGAAUUAUAAAAAUAAAAAAGUGAUAAAAUAAACAAAACAAACUAAAAGAGCAUGUAAAAAAAGCAACAAAAUCAUAAAAUUCUUAAUUAAAAGCAUGGGAAAAAUCAUAAAAUUGUUAGUUAAAAAAAGGAAACAAUAAGCGCUUAAGGAAACAAAUAAAUAAGUGAUUAUUGUUAGUUAAAAGGAUUGAAAAAAAAACGAUAUAAAAUUGUUUAGUUAAAAGAUCGCGUACCUUUGUUCAUAUUUUAAAAGAACCCACGUAAAUCUCAUGUGAUGAGGUGAGAUUUCUCUCUUUGUAUUUUUUAAGGAGAAUCCAACAAAAUCCAUAAAAUUUUAAAAUCCACAAACUUUUGAAUACCUAAGAAUUUUUUAAGACUUUUUAAAAGAAACAAUAGGGCCGAAUGGCCCUAUUCAACAUACAAGAUCAAAUUUUGUCCACCAUUUGAAAAAACAUAAAUUUUGGCCAUUUUUUGUAUGUCAUGACUAUUCUACCCUUCUCUCUCUCCUCUCUCUUUCUCAUCUCCCUCUCUCUCCUCCAGCGGCUCCUCUCUCUUUCUCAUCUCCCUCUCUCUCUCUCUCUCUCUCUCUCUCUCCAGCGGCUGCGCGGCAGCGGCGCCGAGCUUGGAGAAUUCGUCGGAGCUCUCGCGGCGGUGGUGGAGGAGAUCCUCCCUCUCUCUCUCUCCAGCGGCUGCCGCUCUCUCCUCUCUCUUUCUCAUCUCCCUCUCUCUCUCUCCAGCGCGCCGCCUGGGCAGAAUUCGUCGGAGUAGAGGAUGAGGCGGCGGCGGCAGAUCUGGUCUGAUGAGGCGGCGGCGGUGGAUCUGAUCUGAUCGUUGCGCCGCCUCCUCCAUCGGCAGAUCUGAUCUCCGCCUCCUUCGAUUUCAGCCAUGGCAGAUCUGAUCUGAUCUGUGUGCUGCACGUAUGGCACUUAUGGCACUAUUAGUGCCAUAAGUGCACACUUCCCCCUAGGGUUUAGAUAUUCCAUUUAGGCUUUAGAUUAUCCAUUUGAGGUUUAGAUGUUUCAUUUAGGGUUUAAAUGAUGUUGUUGUUUCUGUAUUUGUGCUGCACGAAUGGCACUUAUGGCACUAUUAGUGUCAUAAGUGCCCAAAAUGAUUAUUUUACUUGGUUUUAUUUUGGAUUUUCGUUGGCACUUAUGGACACCAAAAUAAAACCAAAGUAAAAUCUUGGCACUUAUGGCACUAAUAGUGCCAUAAGUGCCUAACCCGACCCGACACGCGACCCGCGUGCCUGAUCUUACCCGGUCCGCCUCAUUAAGGGUAAAAACGUCCAAAUCAAUAAAAAUUGUCAAAAUUUGUGUUUUUUCAAUGUGUGGCCACAAAUUGUGUUUUAUGCUUCAUUUUGGCUACUUCAAAAUUUUACUCUUUUUAAAAUCCAUAUUGAAUACCUCUAGAUUUUUAAAGACUUUUAAAAGUCUGGAUUGAAUAUCCCCAGACUUUCAAAGUCCAAAAAAAUCCUACAGACUCUACAAUCAAUACACCCCCCCCCCUCAGUCUAUUUCGACCAACCUACGAGUUUCAGGCUAGAUUGAAAUUCCCAAUCAAGGUAAAUAAUUUUUUUUGAAAUGUUGAUUUUUAAUUAGUAAUAAGUAUUAAUUAUAAUUCAUUGCAUCAGUACUAACUUAUAUUUUAAAAUAAAUAUUUAUUUUAAAACUUUUGAGCACAUAAAUUAAAAAGAAAACGUAAAUACAUGGAGACCGGAACCACCUUAAUACCUUAUACUAGAACAAACAAUACAAUGUUUGCCAAAAAAAAGAACCCAAAAACGAGAUCUUUAAAUUCACUGCUCUCAAAUACAAAUCAACUUCAGGUUCCAAUCACAAAAACGAGUUAAGCACAUACCACCUUCUCGAUUCCGUCGUGAAAUUAAUUCCUGGUAUUGCACAGCAAAACUUGAGUCCAGUUUUUCGUCGGCGAGAAUAGCAGCGGCUGGGCAGAGAAAAUUCGAAGUCAAUUUGAAUUACCUUUGAAUUCGUAGAGAAAAAGGUAAUUUGAGGACAAAUAUCUGAACUCAAGUACGAACAAAACGGGUGGUUUGCGUAUCAGAUUUGAAUUUGAGGGCAAAAAUGAGAUUUGGGUUCAAGAAAAUUCGGGUGGUUUGCGUAUCAGAGGGGGGGUGCCGUAUCUGUAAACGGGAUUAAUCUCGCCAAAGAAUCAUGGGCCGACUGUGUUACGCUCGACGACACCAAACGCUAGUGCAAAGUUGUAUUAAUAUGCUAAUACAACAAGAAACAGGGCAGCAAACAUGCCCUUAUAGUAAGUAUCACACGGAUUUAACUUUUUACUUAUUAUAUUUUGAGAAUAACAUUUUAUUCUUCUAUAAAACAUAGAUAAAAUCAUUCAACCUAAUGAAUAUAAAAUGGUCAUUUUAUUAUUGUAUAUAUUAUUAUAAAAUACACCAUUUUAUUAUAUGGCUCCUGGUAUUAAUUAUACUAAAUAUAAUAAAUAUACUUUUUUAAGAAUUAAAAUGAAAAAGGGGAAAUGAAAUAUAAAUACAACUGCAACUAUUUUUCAUCUAUAGUAACUAAACAUGUACAAUCUCAUUACUAAGAAUAUAGCUUUUUACUGGGAUUGUUAUACGAUAUAAAUAUCUUAUAGUAAUUCUUGUAUAUAAUGAAAUAUUCAGAUAAUAAGUAUACAUAUUAUGAGACAAACAUUAUACAUAUUAAAAUUAGGGUAAAUAUCAUGAAAACCCCUGAACUAUACUCACUUUAUCAAAAAUACCCUGAAACUUUUGAAAUGUUUUCUAAACCCUCAAACUAUCAGGUUUUUAUCAAACAUAUCAUGCAUCUAUUUUUCAGUUACCAGAAACGUGAUGUGGCUCGCCGGAUGCCACAAUGUAAUUUAUAUUCUAUUUUUUUUAAAUGACAUGGAAAAAAUAACUUCGUUUCGUACCAUAUUCUACCGUGUUUAUCCAUAAUUCUAAGUUAUUAGCAUGAAUUUCAAACACAAUAGAAGUUAAUUUUAAUUUCAGAGUGAAUUUUUUAAAAAUAUGGUACGAAACGACAUCGUUUUUGCCAUUGCAUNAAUUUGAACUUUAGGCACGAAGAAAAAUCUUGAUCAGUUGAAUGUCAAGUUCAUGAAGGAACCACACUAUAUAUUUUUAGGUGAAAAAUUAUAUUUACGUUUGGGAAAGGGUCGUUACAAGCACAAAAUAUCUACGUGUUUAUCCAUAAUUCUAAGUUAUUAGCAUGAAUUUCAAACACAAUAGAGUAAUUUUGAAUUUCAGAGUGAAUUUUUUUAAAAUAUAUGGUACGAAACGACAUCGUUUUUGCCAUUGCAUUUAAAAAAAAUAGAAUAUAAAUUACAUUGUGGCAUCUGGCGAACCACAUCACGUAUUUGGUUAUCGAAAAAUAGAUGCGUGAUAUAUUUGAUAAAAAUCUGAUAGUUUGAGGGUUUAGAGAACAUUUUGAAAGUUUCAGGGUAUUUUUGAUAAAGCAAGUAUACUUCAGGGGUUUUCAUGAUAUUUACCCUUAAAAUUAUACUCCCUCUGUCCCAUGAAAUUAGUCCCUUAUUCUAUUUUGGAUAGUCCACUUUUCUAAUUAAUACUAUAUAAAAAAAUAUUAUUUUACUAAAUUAACCUUAUUUAAUAUUUCACUUAAAUGUGAAAAUGAUGUGUGAAAAUAAUAAAUAAGGGUAUAAAAAGUAAAAAACAUAAAAAUUAAAUGAAUUUUCUUAAUAUGUGUGAAAAGUUGGACGGACUAAAAUGGUGGGACGGAGGGAGUACAAAAUAUAUUGAUAUGAAUAGAAAUAAAAAAUAUUUUUAAAAUAUAAACAAUAAUAUAAACAUAAAUUAUGAGUAUUUUAUGUUUUUAUUUUCUUUUAAAUGAACUAUUUUGAUAUUGGGUGAAUGCUAUUUGUAUUUAACAAUCCUACUCAUCAUUAAAUGGUACUCCCUCUCCAUCCACGAUAAAUGUUGUAUUUUUGCUAUUUUUGUUCAUCGACAAUAAAUGUGAUCUUUUCAUUUUAAGAGAUACUUACUCCGUCCAUAAAAAAAUUUCCUAGGAGGGAGUAGCACUAGUUUUAAGAAAAAAGUUGUUGAACGUAUUAAAAGUGGAGAAAAGAUUGUUGAGUGUAUUGUAAAUAAUGAAAGAAUAUUUUAAUUAAUAUUGGGAGUGGUGAAAAGGUGAAAAGUAAUGGUAAUGAGAUAUUUAUAAUUGGUGGGGUAUAGUCCGAAAAUAGGGGGAAAGGUCUUUUGUAGACGUCCCAAAAAUGAAAAAUAUGAAGUUCUUUUGUGAACGAAGGGAGUAUAUAUAUAUUUAUACUUUACCUCAUUCACACACAAUAUUUAUAAAAAAUCUUAUCUCACAAUCCAUUUAUCUAUAUAAUAUAUAAAAGAGGAGUUUUUUUCCUCCAUUAUUUCCCUCUAUUUUUUUUUUCUCUCUUCUUCCACCAAAUUUUUCAGUAUUUUCUCUUCUUUUUUAUGAUUUUAAUUAUUUUCUAAACAUCACAAAAUUUUAUUUAUGAAAAAAAAAUAUUCAAUAUGCAUCUUAAAUUUAAUUUUCUGACAAGUUUUUUAAUAUGGUGAAAACAAACAAAUCAUCAAAAAUGAAUUUAAAACGAAUAAGUUAUGAAAAUUUUAAGAUAUUUUAUUUUCUCUCUCUUCGCUAAAAUUUUAUAAUUUUUUUUAUUUAUAUUAGUCCAUGAGAAUAUUUAUUCAUUUAAUAUGCCGUGUAAUACUUUAUAAUAAUAAUGUGUAAUGUUAAUUUUUAUUAUCAAAAAAUUUGAGAUUAUUUAAUAACUAUGAUUAUCAUUAGAUAUUAUACAAAGUUAAAAUUUGUAAUUGAUGAGGUUUAUCUUUAAUUUAUUUUUAAAAUAUAUUUUGUAUUUAAUUAUAAUUUAUCUAAUAUUUAUAUAUUUUUAUUUAAAACAUGUGGUUAAUUUCGAUGUUCGUCGUGCAUCGCACGAAUGGUCAUACUAGUUAAUUAACUAACAAAUCAAUUCAGUAAAGUCUUUUCUUGACUUUAUACACAUGUGUGAUAUUUUCUUAAAACCUGUGACCUUCCAUCCACAAAACACUUAUCGUGGACUAUGAUGCACGGAUUCUUCAAAAAUUAGCAUGUACGGCGAAUCGGAUUCUUUUAGGGUGCGAUUCUCUCGGAUUCUCGUCGGAUUCGCACCCGAUUCGCCACGUAGCGUAUCUUUUAAAAUAAUUUAUAAAAAUAAACCGGAUUCGCAAAUUCCAUAGGUGAAAUUCACGUAUCUCAUGCACGAAAGGCCUACACAAGAUUGAUUUUGAUAAUUUUAUUGGACUAAUAAUAUUUGAAUCGUUAUAUUGUUGCCCAAUUAACUUAUAUAAUUGAAAAUGCUUAACUUUUUGGUAAAAUAAAAUGUAAAUUACAUAUAAUUAAUUUAAGAAAAUUUAAAUUGUAUAUAUUUUAUAAGCAUUAUAUAUAAUAAAAUUUUAAUAAUUAGAUGUAUCCUUGACGAAUCGCACCCUAUAAUUUUUUAGAAACUCGUAUCCCCGUACUCGUAUCGUAUCGCCCCCGCAUCCGCACCCCCGCACCUAUGCAACAUAGAUCGUGGAUGAAGAGGGUAGUAUAAUGUAGUUUCUAUAAACAAUUUUUUUGUACUUAUCGAGGAAGUAUACGUAUGAAUUCGAUGUGUAUAUGUAUGAAUUGCAAAAAAUAAUGUUUUUGCUACUUAUGAGAUUCAAACUCAGGACCGUAAAUUCAAUCGACAAAGUGAUGAAUCAACCGUAAAUCUUGAUGAUAUAAGGACUGAAAAUAAUUCAUAUUUUAUAUUUUAAAAUGUAUUUUUAUUUUAACACAUCCCUAUAUAUAUAUAUAGGGAAAAGUUCCCUUGAGAAAGCUAUAUAUUGUUAAAAUUGAGAAUAAAUUUGGUCCAUUAGAUUUUUAUCUAUCAACGAACAUAAUUAAAUCUAUUGAGAUAAGCCGUUUUAUAGAUGUAAGGGCAUAAGUGUAUUUCCUUAUAGUAAUUCGUAACGUAUGAGAUCCCUCAGUUUCCGGUAAGUGUUUGACUUUUUUAUGUGUACUUUUAAAAUUGUUUGAAGAAUACCCUAUAUUAACAAAUUAGAUUGUAUUAUAUUCAUUCUUAACGUUUUCAAGGCCACAUGUUUUUCCAUAUCGCAUAUUAGUGUGUUUGGCUUAGGGGAUAAAGCUUAGUGCAUGUUUUAGUUUACCCAUUAGUUAACCCAAAAUAUUUUUUAGUUGUUAAAAUAUUAAAAGACUGCAUUUCAUAUAUAUUAGGGUUAUUUAUAUAAAAUCUGUGUAAAUUAAAUAAUAAUAUCUCAAUAACCAUCCACUCCCAUUAUUAAAUACAGAAUGAAAUUUUGAAUAAAUAAAAUACAAAAUUAGAUUUUUUUUGGCAUUUAUUUUAAUAACAGUAUUUUAACAAAUUAAAUAGAAUAUUGUGCUCAUCAUUAUAUUCAUGUGUUCAAACAAUUUUUGGAUACGUUCAUUAAUCAAAUUUUCCCAUUUUAUCGACAUAUACAUUAAUAAAUCUUCUAUAUUCAAUGAUAGAUAUGGGAUAAAUAUCAUUUUAAACCCCAAACUAUUUUCGCACUAUCAAUUAUAUCCCUUCUAUAAUCAAUGAUAGAUAUGGGGUAAAUAUCAUUUUAAACCCCAAACUAUUUUCGCACUAUCAAUUAUAUCCCGAACUAUCGAAAAUAAUUUUUUAAAUCUUGAACUAUUAAUUUUAUAUCAAUUAUAUCAUUGAGAAAAUAAAUAUUUGAUGCUGUCUAAAUUUGAUUUAAAAAUCGGAUACUGGCAUAUCAUCAUCAGCAGCAGCAUCUCAACAAUUAGACAAUGUAACUACAUUCAAUUCAACUCUAGAAAGAAAUUAUCUCAACAAUUAGGCAAUAUAACUACAUUCAAUUCAACUAAAAAAAGAAACCUACAAUUAACCAACUACAAAGAUGAACGGCUGAUCAAAGUUACAAUACAUAAGGAAUUGCUGCAAACAUCAUCCAUUUUGCAAAUCCAACAUUUUUACACGAUUGAAAAGUAGGACAUUGUAUCAGGGUACGAUAAACUAGACGACGCUACAGCAGAUGAAAACCAAUGAAAGCUCAAGAACCUUAGUAUGUCCUCACUUACCAAGUGUCGUGGUAAUCGAAAUAUUCGCCCGAACAAUCACUGGCUCCAGAGAAUUCAAGAUAGUCAUCGUAAUCAGACACUAAAUCCAUGUCAGAGAAGCCAGUUAUAUAGUCAUCAUCUGAUGUUUCAUAAUCAUAUAUAUCAGCAUCAAAAGGGUAAUCAUCAGUUGAGUCAUGGGGGCGCCUCAAGUCUCUAAUCCUCUGCGUGCACAAUCUGCCUAUGUUCCCACCGAAGUGGAUGUUGAAGCACUGCCUCAGAUCAAGCAAUUCAAGAUGAGGACAGCCGUCAAGAAUGGCCUGCAAGCCUUCAUUUGUCAUUUUGUUUCCAAAGAGUUGGAGAUGGCGUAGUUGAGGCAUGUUUUCUGCAAUUGCUCGGGCAUCCAUAUCACACACGAGAUACUCCUGCUUGUACCAGCGGUUGUUUGAUGUAAAUGACUUCAAGUGCGGGCAUAAUCGGCCAAUGGCUUCAAUAGCUUGUGCAUCGAUAGAAGUGUAGUACAGAUGCAGCUCCUCCAGCAGAGGGAAUUUUUUAACUGCUUCGAUCAGACCAUCACCUGUUAUGCCAUAGGAAAAUACAAGUUGAAGACGUCUGAGCUGACUAGAUCUGUAGAAAUGGGAGAAAACCAAACUCAGAUAGAAGAUAACUAAAAGAUCUCAAUAUAUGCAUCAAAUAUACAAAUGCACAUGAUGCAGAAUAUUUCCAGCAGAUGCCACAGCAAAACUAACAAUAAUCCAAGUAAAGAUUCAUUCAAUUAGUCAAUAUGUAGCUCGGAAAAAUGAGAAAUAGAGACUUUGUGUUCCCAGCAUCAUUCCCAUCUUCAUGAAACGAAACAUAAAUUGAAUUCCAUUCAUGACUGCGAAAUUAAACAUUAUUCCUUGAUUCUAAAUCAUCCUUCAAUUCCCUCAUAAAUCUGCAAUCAUGCAUGGCUCUUUUACAGCUGAGAAACAAAAUAAUCUGAAAUUCUCACAAAAAUCUCGAUAUUUGCCUCAUAAUCUGCAAACAUGGAUGACUCUUUUCAGAAAAAAAAAAAAAAAAAAAUAACAUCAUCUGAAAUUCCCACAAAAAUCUUGAUAUUAUGUCAUCCUUCAUUUUUCUCCAUUACUUUCAGUCUCAAACAAAAUAAUCAUAUGAAAUGACCGUGAAAACCUUGAUACCAGAUCAUCCUAGAUUCCCUCAUAUUUCCAAUCUCAAUCACAGCUCUCAAAAACACAAUCAUCCAGUAUUUCCACAACUACGUCAAAGAAACCAAAUUUACGCCAGAAAAUACCACUUAAAUACAAUAAUAUCACGGCAUUCACACCGUUAACAAACAAAACGAUGAAUGGGUGCAAUUCAGCGAAAACAGAGCUCAAUACACCCUUUUCUCUACGGAAACCAAAGCAGAAUGAAAACUUCCGCAAUAGAUUGAAGCUAAUCUACAGAAAAAAUUAGCACACAAAUAAUCGAUUUUCCAGAUAAAUUGCAGUCAUUUAAGCACAGGAAAAAACAGAAUUACCUCUGAGAAAUGUAGUGCAGUAAUUCAUCGGUACCAAAAUACUCAAUAUUGAUAUCAAUCAAUUGGCCCUGGCUGCGAUCGACUGCGUGGCGGCACAUCUUCUCCAAAUUGUACGGCAUGUCCCAGAGAUCGCCAGUAUUUCGCAUGUCGAUGCACCGCCACAUUGAAGGGUCUCGGCAAACACUCUGCCACGCAGUGCAUACACUCUGUGCAGUCGUCAGUAUCUCGAUCGCCCCCAACUUGUGCAGAAUCGCCGAAGUUAUCUCCCGCGGCAAUUCCAGCCACGGCGGCGCCGCCUCCUUCGGGCUCGACGAGGACGACAUCUGAUCUUCCGUUUUGGGGGAUUUAACGUGUUUGAUUUCGGGGGAAGUUUUGAAUUUGGGAUUUGGAAAGGCGAGAUUUUUAGGGUUUGGAGAUUGAGUGGAUUUUGAAGGGUGCAAAAUGCUUCUGGAGUAAACGUUAGCUGAUAAAUGAAUCGCACAAGUUCUUUUUUUUCCUUUUUCUUGAACAAGUCAAUCUUUUGUUUUUUCAUGUCCUUUAUUUUUUUUUCCCUUUUAGCACAUUUUCUUAUUUUAAUAUUUUUUAUUUUUUCAUAAUACUGUAUUGUGAAUAUUCUUCUUUAUUUUUUAUUUCUUUGACUCAAAUCUAUAUAUAUAAAGAGAAGUAAAUAUAAAUAAAUUCAUUUAGAAGGGUAUAAUUGGAAUUGGAAAAAAUGAAUAACUAAAAAUGAAAUUCAGUAUAUAUUGACUAAACAUUAAAAAAACCAACAACUGCCGUGUAACAAUACAAAACUGUCAAAUUUGCAUUUAACAAAGUCCUUUCAUUAUUUAAACAAUUUUUUUUUCUUUUCUUAUUUUGUAGAUAGAAGUGAUAGAACACAAUUUUCCAAAUUCAAGUAAUUAUAUGUAAGAUCAAAUAUGUAAUUAAUCUACAUCUUGAAUUAAAGAUCAUAAAAUGACCUUUAAUUAGAUGUACAAUGUGUAAAAAAUAAAUUUAAAAUGAACAAGUUAUGAUAAUUUAAAGUUGUAAUACAUACAAUAACUUAUAUUUGUAAACAAUUAUAUUUUCCUUCAAAAGUUAGUGAUCUUAGAAACCCUAUUUCAUUUCUUAAAAUUAUAAAAUUAUGUAUUUUUAUUUAUUUUAUAUCAAAAAAUUACUAAUAGCAUAUUAUGUUAUUAUCAUAAAAUUAUAUAUAAUAAUAUAUUUUAAGGAACACUAAUUCAAUAAUCUCAUUUAAUUAAUUGAAUAUUAAAUUAUAUUAAAAUUAUAAAUUACAAUUAUGUGUACAUGAAUUUUCUCAAAUUUUCAUCUAAUUAAUUGAUUAUUAAUUAAUUCUUUAAACUAUAUAUUAAAAAAUGUACGUAUGUGUAUUAAAUUUUUGUUGAAUUCAUUAAUCAUUUAUUUAAAAUAAAUAAUACUAAAAUAAUUAUAAAUUAAAAUCUAGCAACAAAUAAAUUAUGUGGAGUUAACUUAAAUUUUCUACAAAUAUAGAAAGUUAAUGAAAUUAAAAGUCAAAUAGAGACAAUUAUACAUAAGUUACAACAUAAUAUUUUAAAAACUAUUGCAAAAUAAGUGUAAGUUCGUGAUUUAUUUUACAAUUAACCAUUCGAAUGCACCAUUGAUUUGUCUAGAAUUACUUUUGUUAAAUAAAAUAUUUUUAUUUUCUGGAGUAUGUUUUUUUAUAUUAGAACGAUUAUCUUGAUGGGUAUUAAAAUAAGUUUUCAUAUAAUUGAUAAUUGAUACUUUCAAAACUAUCUACAUUUAUCUCUCUAAAUAUUUAUUUAUAUAUGUUUGUAUUUUAUUGUUUGUUGUUAUUUUAAAUCUAUAAAUAGUAAAUUUUAAUUUUAAUAUUAUUAUAUUAAAUUAAUAAUUAUAAAGUGUUUCAUAUAUAUUGUUUUAGGUAUCGUGAUAAUUACAAUGCUAUUUUUUUUUAUAAAAGCAAAUGAUGUUUGGUAUAAAAUAAAUCAUCCCGUAUAAAUGAUACUUUUACCGCAUACAAAUGACAUUUUAACAACAACAAAAAUAAUUUUCUUACUGGUAAAUGAUAUAUUAUAAAUAAUAAUUUUAAUGCAUACAAAUAAUAUUUUUAAUAAAAAAAUUGAUACUUUAUCAGAUUGACCAGAGCAAAAGGGCAAAGAGGGUGGAAGGCAAGGGGGAGGGCUAGUAGGCUGGGCCCAAUAUGGGCGUCGAGAUGCACAAAAAAUUUGUUAAGCUUAAUAUAUGCAAUGUAUGUAUAUUUCUAUAAAAUUUAAUAUUUUAUUAUUACUUAAUAAAAGUAAUAGAUUUUAAUAUUUUUAUAUUUAUUAAUAAAAUAUUAUAUUUAGAACACAUGCAAUAUUCCUCGUGCAUCGCAUGUGAGGCGUACUAGUGUAUAUAUAUAUAUAUAUAUAUAUAUAUAUAUUAUAAAUUANGUAGUAUAUAUAUAUAUAUAUAUAUAUAUAUAUAAUUGUAAUUUUAUAAAAAAUACUUUUCACAACUAAAAAUUACAUAAUUAUAUUUAAUAAUUCAAAUUCAAAUAUAUAUAGUUAAAUACAAAAAUAUUCUAGAUAAAAAAAUAGUAAAUUAAAAUUUAUAAUGUGGCGUUAUAAAAUUACUAUAUGAAUAAAUCAUUGUAGAGACAAAUCAAUCAAAGAAGUAGAUUAAUUUUAAAUAUAUUUUUUUUAAACUAAUAGUAUUAGAUAAAGAAAUUUAAAAGCUGCACUACAUGAGAUUCGAACCCAAGACCGUUAGCCUUAGGCAUUAAGGUCUUAUCAUUUGGCCAACACACGCACACAUGAAUUUUAACUUUUUAUGCGGGCAUAGUUGUACUCCCUCCGUCCACAAAAAGUGUGUGGUGGAGUGGAGAGCACAAGUUUUAAUGAAAAAGUAGAAAUGUGUGAUUUUAGUGUUAAAGGAUAGUAUUGGGCCCACCAAAUUAUAAAAGUAAAUGGUGAGUAUUUUGUAAAUAUUGAGUGUAAAUAGGGUUUAAAGUAUAAAGGUGAUUUCUAAAAAAAGAAAACACGCAAUCUUUGCACACGGGUGAAAAUAGUAAUAAACACAUAAUCUUUGUGGACGGAUGGAGUAUAAGUUAAUUUUCUUGAUACUGACAUAACCAUAAUACAAACAUCUAUAUCUUGUUGUAAAUAUUGUAUAAAUUUAUAUUUACAUAAUAAUUAUAGGGAGCUUUGCUUUUUUACCCAACUUUUAAAAACUAUAUUUAAGAAAGGACAAAUAGCGUCAAAAUCUCUAUAGUUUUGCCCGUUUCGCAUUUUUUCCAUGACUUAAAAAUUUCUCGUUAAAAGCCAUGACUAUUGCUCCGAUUCUUGUUUUUCCCUUAGUGACGUUUUUCGGCCAUUAAUUAGAUGACAUGUCACCAACGUGACACACUUAUGCUGAGUAGGUUAAUUAGAAGCUAAACGACGUCGUUUUGAGUCUAACCUAAUAGCGUCAAAAUCCUGAAGUUUGGCGCAAUUCUUGUUUUUCCCUUGACCUUAAAAUCUCGCGUGAAGGAACUACGGAGCAACGCCAACAUAUUCUCCGACGUCGGAAACUCUACAACAAUUUAGAGCAGCGAUCAAUACUAUCUUAUACUUCUUCCAUACUGUAUAAAAACCCUAGUAUAGAGACAUAAAGAGAGAGAGAGAGAGAGAGAGACAGACAGACUAGUGAUGGGUCCAUUGUCCUCAACACGAAUUGAAAACCACAAUUCCAUGGCCAUGGCCACAUACUACUCGAGCGUUGGGGUGACAGUUUUCGCUCGAUGACGAUAGGGAAGACAUGACAAUAUUUCGUCUUCAAUGGCUGAUAGUGGUUUGGGGAUUUUUUUUUGGUGAAGAACCCCUAAUUUCAGUUUGAUUUCAUUUAAUUCUCAAAGAAAAUAUAAAACGACAACGUUCUAUAUUAUGAAUUAAACACUGUCGUCCAUUUCGACGGAAAAUUAAGCCUACGUAGAUUUUUGAUGGCUAUGUCAGCAUAAGUUUGGGGGAAGAUCGGUUUUAUGGGAAAAUUAAUAAUCGGGAUUAAGUUCAUGAAUUUUAACGAGAAAUUUUUAGGUCAUGGGAAAAAUGCGAAACGGGCGAAACUAUAGGGAUUUUGACACUAUUUGCCCUUUAAAAAAUACCCACUUUUGUUUUGCUACAUCCCAUAACCUUUGUAAAUUUUUUAAUAUUUCACUAUUGUUGGGAACUUAAUGAAAUAUCCUAGCUCUAGUUUGGAUGAUACCAAAAUCCUUAAGUGUUCUUUGUAAUAGACUAAAACUUUUCGAACUCAAGUGUUGGAGUUCCUUUUCUAGUUUAGCUUGUGUUCUGAAGACUGAAGACUGAAGACCGGAGGAAUGGAGAAUGAAGAACGAAAGACUGAAGACUGAAGAGCUCGACUGAUAUUGCGAAUAAAGGCUGAGUCAAGCACUGAUGUUUGACUGAUCGCGUUUCUCAGCUAAAGGAUCAGUUGCGAACUGAUUCAUUAAUGUAGGCCAUGUGGAAUCAGCGGACUGAUACUAAAGUCAAGUAUCAGUUAACAUUCUUCCUCGUACUGAACCUCCAAAGUUAAAAGGAAGCCACGCACUCCCAGAGUACAGCCGCAUUAAAUGCAAAGAUUUUAAGGAUCUUCCUUUCUCUGCAGAGCAUUCCUUUUUGGUGACUACCUUUUCAGAGAUGUCCUAUCUCCUAGCCGUUCUCACCAAACAAGGAACCUCGAAGAUUGAAGCCUCAGCGAAAUUCAAAAUACACUCCAACAGAUGAAUUCUUGAAGACCAUCUCCGCCAACGGAUCUAUUCAAGACCUCUCCUAUAAAUAGAGCUCGAGGAUCACUUCAAUCUUCAUCGAUUCAAAUGCAUAAGCUGAAACGCUGCCGAAUUCGUUACUCAACAAAUCAAAGCCUUCCAAAGUUUGAAUCGAAGAAUAGAAUCACAAAGUCAAAAUCAGUCCACUACUGAUACAUAUAUUCUCUUAUAACCUUAGGCAUAUAUUGUUUAUCCAAAGUCUAAGUUACUGAUAACAGAGAGACUGUUAUCUGUGAUCUAGUUGGUAGUUUUCGAACCUCAUUUCAAUUGAGCGAAAAGAGUGUUUGAAGUUGUGUGGAGUUCAGACCAGUGUUCUGACUCCAGAGAAAUCUUAAUGCCCAGUGUGUACUAAGUGUGUUUAAGAAAUCCAACCCAGUGUGUUGGUACUGAAACGUGUGAUUUCAGUUCAAGGUUUGUUGUGCACCCGUAAGCACAAGCCCAGAGUACUUGUCAGUGUGAUCAACUGACCGUGGAUGUAGGAAUUGGAUUCUGAACCACGUAAAAAUCCCUUUAUCGUUUAUCGCUUUCAGUCUUUACUUUCUUAUUUGUGCGCAAAGUCUUUAUCAACUGAAACUGAUUAACUGCAAAGUGAAACUAAAUCUUGACAACGUGCUUAAUCACAAAGGCUAUUUCUUAAGUAAAGUUUUCCGCUGCCAGUGUUAUUAGUUUAACUGUUAAAUUUUCGGAUAGUCAGUAAGAUUCAUAAUAUUCCUCUGUUUUACAAACCUGACUGAAGCCUAACACAUAUCAGUUAAAGUCUAGGACUUAACUGAUAACUCUUUACUGAAGAGAGAAUCAGUAUCAGUCACCAACCGAAGUUUUGCUAAACUCUUUGGGGAGGACUUACGUGAGCGCAUGGUGUGAGCGCGCAUGGUGUGAGCGCGGGUCUAGGUCACGACCCGACCCGGAUCCGGCUCCACCUUAAAUAUUAAAAAAAAAAUUAUAACUGAUUUUAAUAUAUUAUAUAAAACUGUUAAAGCAUUGAAUAUCAAGAGAGCUCUUAGCUCAGUUGGUUUAGGCUCCACAGCUUAUGCAAGCUAGACCUGGGUUUAGGGAUGGCAGUGGAUCUUGGACCCGGUCCAGAUCCGUGGAUCCAGAUCCGUUUCUCAAUUUUUCGGACCCGACGGAUCUGGAUCUGGAUCUCAGUUUUGAAAACGGAUCUGGAUCUGGAUCUUGAAAUUUUAGAUCCGGAUCCGGCCCAGAUCCGACCCGUGGAUCCGUUUUAUUUUAUAUAUAUUUUUUAUAUUUUAUAUUUAGUUUACUAAUAAUAUUAACUAAAUUAAAAUAAUAAAUAAAUUAUAUUUAAAAGAAUAAAACUAAAAGUAAUUAGAUAAAAGUAUUUUGUGUUAUAUUUUUCAUGAUGGAAAUUAGAUGUUUUUGGUUUUGUGAAAUUUUUUUGAUUUAAUUUAAAAAUAGUAGAUCCAUGGAUCUGGACCCGUGGACCCGCGGAUCUGGCGGAUCUGGAUCUGGAUCCAAAAUUUUUAGAUCCACGGAUCUGGAUCUGGAUCUAGUAUAUGAAAACGGAUCUGGAUCUGGUAUUGGUCAGACCCGGUCCAGAUCCGGCCUGUUGCCAUCCCUACCUGGGUUCGAAACCCACUAGGAGCGAAAUUUUGGGCUUCAUUUCAUUUAUUUUGUUAUUUCUUUUAAUACUUGUAGUUUCUUUCUUUUAAGUAUAUAGUUUCAUUUAUUUUGUUAUUUCUUUUAAUACUUGUAGUUUCUUUCUUUUAAGUAUAUAGUUUCUUUUUUUUGUAGUUUCAAAAUAAUACUUGUAGUUUCUUUCUUUUAAGUAUGUAGUUUCUUUCUUUUAAGUAUGUAAUUUCUUUAUUAAAAUAAUACUUGUAGUUUUUUUUUGUAGUUUAUUAAAGUAAUACUUGUAGUUUUUGUUUUUUUUUUGUAGUUUCUUUCUUUUAAAUAUAGUUUUUUUUUGUAGUUUUUUUCUUUUAAAUAUGUAAUUUUUUUAUUAAAAUAAUACUUGUAGUUUCUUUCUUUUAAGUAUGUAGUUUCUUUAUUUUAAAUAUGUAAUUUCUUUAUUAAAAUAAUACUUGUAGUUUCUUUCUUUUAAGUAUGUAGUUUUUUUUUGUAGUUUCUUUCUUUUAAGUAUGUAGUUUCUUUCUUUUAAGUAUGCAAUUUCUUUAUUAAAAUAAUACUUGUAGUUUCUUUCUUUUAAUACUUGUAGUUUCUUUCUUUUAAGUAUGUAGUUUCUUUCUUUCUUUUAUAGUUUCUUUCUUUUAUACUUGCAGUUUUUUUUUUCUUUUUUCUAUAGUUUAUUUCUUUUAAUACUUUUAGUUUCUUUUAAGUAUGUAGUUUCUUUUUUCUUUUCGUUUCAAAUUUUUAAUUAUUUUUUUAUUUUAGUUUGAAAAAUAGUAUCAUUUGUUCUAUAUUAAAGGUUUCAUUUAGUAAGAAAAAUAGUAUCAUUUGUUCUAUAUUUAAAGGUUUCAUUUAGUAAGAAAAAUAGUAUCAUUUGUUCUAUAUUUAAAGGUUUCAUUUAGUAAGAAAAGUAGUAUCACUAAUAAAUGAUAUUAAAAGUUUCGCUUAAUGAUAUUAAAAGUUUCGCUCUUUUCUUUGUUCAAUAUUAAAGGUUUCAUUUAGUUUGAAAAAAUAGUAUCAUUUGUUCUAUAUUAAAGGUUUCAUUUAGUAAGAAAAAAUCAUUUGUUCUUUUUUCUAUAUUAAAGUUUCAUUUAGUAAGAAAAUAGUAUCAUUUGUUCUACAAUAUUUCAAAUGACACUUACAUGUAAAUGACACUAUACUAAACCCUAAACACUAAACCCUAAACAUUAUGACACUAUCAAAUGACACUAUGACAGUUCAAAUGACACUACAAGAUUUCAAAUGACACUACGAGAUUUCAAAUGAAACUUCAAUAAUUAAAAUGACACUAUAAGAUUUCAAAUGUUACUAUGACAUUUCAAAGACACUUCGAAUGACGCUAUGACAUUUCAAAUGACACUAUGACAUUUCAAAUGACAUUAUAACAAUUCAAAAUGACACUAUAACAUUUCAAAUGACACUACAAGAUUUAAAAAUAACACUAUGACAUUCAAAUGACACUACAAGAUUUUAAAUGACACUAUGACAUUUCGAAUGACACUACAAGAUUUCAAAGACACUACAAGAUUUCAAAUGACACUAUGCCAUUUCAAAUGACACUUCAACAUUUAAAUGACACUAGAAGAUUUCAAAAUGAUACUACAAGAUUUUAAAUGACACUAUGCCAUUUCAAAUGACACUUCAACAAUUCAAAUGACACUACAAGAUUUCAAAUGACACUAUGACAUUUCAAAUGAAACUUCAAAAAUUGAAUGACACUACAAGAUUUCAAAUAACACUAUGACAUUUCAAAGGACACUACAAGAUUUCAAAUGACACUACAAGAUUUCAAAUGACAUUAUUCCAUUUCAAUGAAACUUCAACAAUUGAAAUGACACUACAAGAUUUCAAAUGACACUAUAACAUUUCAAAUGACACUACAAGAUUUCAAAUGACACUAUGAGAUUUCAACUGACACUAUAACAAUUCAAAUAGACACUAUAACAUUUGAAAUGUAUAGUGUCAUUCGAAAUGUUAUAGUGUCAAUUUUAAGAUUUCANGACACUAUAACAUUUUGAAAUGUUAUAGUGUCAUUCGAAAUUUAUAGUGUCAAUUUUAAGAUUUUAUGUAGUCCAUUUUAAAUUUUCAAGUGUGCUUUUUGAAAUGUUAUAGUGUCAUUUUGAAAUGUUAUAGUGUCAUUUUAAAAUGUUAUAGUGUCAUUCGAAAUGUUCAAUAGUGUCAUUGCAAAUCUUAUAGUGUCAUUCGAAAUGUUAUAGUGUCAUUUGAAAUGUUCAAAGUGUCAUUUGUUGAAACUAUUAAAGUGUCAUUUUGAAAUGUUAUAGUGUCAUUUUUAAGAUUUCAUGUAGUGUCAUUCGAAAUCUUAAAGUGUCAUUUUGAAAUGUUAUAGUGUCAUUCGAAAUGUUCAAAAGUGUAAUUUCAAAUGUUAUAGUAUCAUUCGAAAUGUUAUAGUGUCAUUUUAAAAUGUUAUAUAGUGUCAUUCGAAAUGUUCAAAAGUGUCAUUGCAAAUCUUAUAGUGUCAUUCGAAAUGUUAAAGUGUCAUUCUAAAUCUUAAAGUGUCUUUUGAAAUCUUGUAGUGUCAUUCGAAAUGUCUAAGUGUCAUUCAAAAUCUUAAAGUGUCUUUUGAAAUGUUAAAGUGUGUUUUGAAAGCUUGUAGUGUCAUUUAUAUGUCGGAGUAGUGUCAUUUGAAAUAUAGUAGUGUCAUUUAUAUUUUGAAUAGCGUCAAUUAUAGGAAUUAUCAUUUGCAAGGUUAUAGUGUUGAUUCGAUGUAUUAAUAGUGUCACUUAACAAGUAACGUUUUCUUGAAGCAGGAAUAUAACUUCUAAGCAAUCAAUGAAACCAUGUACAAGAAGAUAUACUGACAUUCUUCACUUGGAAAUGCAGGCAAAUUGGAGUAUUAUGCAAGUAAGAUCUCAUUGUGCUAGUAGAUAUAUAAAACCUUUUCUUGUAUGUUCUACAUAUAUUUUUCAUCUUUUUGAUUACCUGUUUUCUCCAUUGAACAGUUUACUUGUACCUUGCGGCCUUAGCAAUUGGUAACUUCUCACUACCCUCAGAAUAUAUAAUACAAAAUAUAAUAGUUUCAUUUUAAAUAAAUGAUAGUGUCAUUGUUUUUCUCUCCACCAACUAAGCUAAACCGUGUCAUUUUCUAUUGUUAAAAGUGCAUGUCCAUUAACCGUGUCAUUUUCUAGUGUUAAAAGUGCAUGUCCUCAGAAUAUAUAAUACAAAAUAUAAUUUAUUAGUGUAGAUAGUUUCUUUUACUAAGAAAAAUAAUAUCAUUUUCUAUUAUUAAAAGUGUCAUUUAUCAUUUUAUUCGAAAGUAUCAUUCAUAUGCAUUAAAAGUGUCAUUUGAGUGAUUUAAAAGUGUCAUCAAUAAAUAAACAUUGCUCUCACUUCUAUGAUCCAACAAGCAAGAAAAAACUUGAAACAAACUUCGAAUAUCAUUCAAUUCCAUCAAAGCUAAUCAAAACUUGAAACAAGAAUAGCUAUGUUGCAUCUCUGGUUCUUUUCGACCCUGCCACAUCAUGUUUUUGUUACACUUGUUAAAAUAGCUAUGCUGCAUCUCAGUAGGAAAUUUGAAUUGAAACAAAAACAAGCACACAAGCCAAAGCUACACAACAAUCCACCAAACAACUUCUCUAAGAAAAAUGAAAAUCAGGCAUACGAAACCAAAAUCUGCUACUGUGCCCCCAAAUUCUGGAAUUAGAGAUGCAGUCGAGGGAGAAGGGGAAUUAGGGCUCAAGAAGGAUAAAAAAGGGGUCUUGAAGGAUUAAUGAUGGGUGUCAGGACGGCGGAGAGCCGCGACCGGAGCUGGGCAGUAGAACGACGGCGGUGUCAGGACGGCGGCGGCAGGUGGUUCCCGUCGUUCGACCGCAUGCAAGAAAAAGAAGGAUGCCGCAGCCACGCCUCUUGUAAGUGGUCGUCCGACCGAGAGAGUUGGUGGUAUUGGUGGUGAGAGAGAGAGAGGUGGGCGCUGGUUUACCUGGUAUUUGCUGCUCUGCGGAGGUGGCGCCGAUGCGAGAGGAGGCGGUAAGACGCUGGCUGUUCGGUGAUGGAGGAAGGCAGACGAGACGGCGACGAUUCUGUCCAUGAGUCGUUAGAGAAGAGAAGGAGAAGAUGUCGUUGGGCCCCGGCGGCGGCGGCCGCAGUGCUGCUGUCGUUUGGUUUAGAGAGAGAACCUUCUGAAAUUAGGGGGGGAGAUUUGGGGGGUUUUGAGUGAAGUGGUGGAAGGUAGUGGAGAUGGUGACUGCGGCGGAUUUAAGGAGAUAGAAGAAAAGGGUAGGUUUCCAGGAUUUUUUUUAUAUGAUGGUUCCGGAUCCGGGUUGGAUCGCACCAAGAUCCGCGCGCAUGGGGUGAGCGCUCAAUUUGUGAGGCGCGCAUUUAAGUUUUUGUGAUAAGAAAAAUAUAACUGCGCUUUUUUCCUUUACAAGUUUUCAGUAUUUACACUUUUAAAUUAUAUCUUAAAUGGAAGCUUAGGGUUGAAACUAGCAAAGGCAGAGUAGAAAUAUUGACAUUUUCGGAAAUAUUUAAGUUAUAUAUUGAUUCGACAUAUUCCUACUCUUGACCUAUGAAUAUGAAAUGAAAAGAAAUAGUCACUCAUUUCCACUCUUACACCAACAUGGAAUCCUAUACGAUUUGUGAGCUAUUUUACCCCCUGCCCUGGCCCCACGUGUUAUGUUUUAGGGUUGAUGGAUUAUUUGACCCCAUUUGAACUUCUCCUUAUCAUUUACUCGAUCACAUAACGAUGUGCAUUUAUUUACUAUCUAUAAAUUAUUACUUUUAUAUGUGUGUGAUAUUACAAAAACAAUAGUACAUGUGUGACUAUGCCGGUUGACUUAUUAUCAUGAAUAGAUAAGGGUGUGCAUUCAGUUAUAUGAUUCGAUUUUUGUUAAAAUUAAAUUAAAUCAUACUUUUUCCGUCACAAUCAAGAUGCUACAUAUUUUUUUUUCUGGGCUCCCAACGAAGAUGCUAUAUUUCUAAAUAUGGAAAACAUAAGAUUUUAAUUGCACAAUUAAAUUAAUUAAUCAUCUCUUAUUACUUCUCUCUCCUACAUUAUCACUUUAUUACUUUUUUCUUCCACUUUAUACUUUUAUCUACAAUUUAAAACAUAAUCUACAACUCCUUAAAUUCGUGUCGAAAAGAAAUGUAUCAUCUUAGCUGGAUAAGGGAUAUUUUUUUUCGGUUAAAAAAACAAAACAAAAUCGAACCGAAUUAACCAAAUUAAAUUAAUCAAAAUUUUUAUAAUUAAAAUAAAAUGAACCGAAAAACGAAUUAAUCCAGAAAAAAAAUUGAAAAAAUGAAAAUUCCGAAAAAAUAACUAAUACUCCCUCCGUCCCAAACGAAAUGUCCUCCUUCUUUUGGGCACGCUUAUUAAGGAGGCAUUAUCUACCUAAUCUAGUAGAAUAUUAUAGUACUCCAUCCGUCCCAACUUUUAGUAUCCAACUUUCCUUUUUUGGCCGUCCCACAUUUUGGUAUCCAUUUCUAUUUUUAGUAAAAGUAGGUGGGGCCCUUACUCCACUUUAAUUAUUUUAACUCUCACAUAAAAUGUGGGACCCUUAUUCCACUCACAACACAUCAAUCACUUUAUUAAAAUCCGUGCCGUUCUCAACUGGAUACCAAAAGCCGGGACGAAUGGAGUAUAUUUUAUCAUUAUCCAUCAUUCAUUUUAAGAACAUACAUAUAUACAUAACAACCUAAUAAUUAAAAUUUACAAUUAGGGUUAGAAGAUUAAAAAUUUAGAAGUUAGAUAUUAUAAAAUUCUAAUUAAAUAUGUUAAAAUUUAUAAUAUUUAUAUAUAUGCACUCCAAUGAGACCCCUUAAUUUUCGUGUAACAUGAAGCACGAUCUGGUGCGUUUAUUUUAUCAAUUCUAUGGCUGAUAUUGUAUCUGGAGGGAGAUUUUUUUUCGCAGGCUUCGAAUCCUGGAGGGAGCAGAAUAUUUUAAAUUUUGUUAUUCAUCAGUAUAUACUGCCUUAUUCAUCAGUAUAUAUGUCUUAUUCAUUACCAAUUUUUUAAAUUUAUUUUUCAUCAGUAUAUAUAUUUUGUUCAUUAGUAUUAUAUGUCUUAUUCAUUCUCCUCAUGUUACACGAAAAAUAGGGAGUCUCACUGGAGCGCGCUCCUAUAUAUAUAUANAUCCUGUUGCUGUCGCCGGCGAGCGGCGCCGAGAAGAGAGGGAGAUGCAUGGACUCUAGCAGGCGGCAUCGCUAGGAAAGAAGAGAGAGAUGGAGAACGAGAGAUCGAGGAUGAGAGAAGAGAGUGGAGAAAGGAAACAGUGGUUUUUUUAUAUAUAUAUCGGGUCAAAUGACCCGGUUCUCUUUGUUCGACCCGACCCAAGCCCGCGCGCAUAUUGUGAGCGCACAAUUAUAACGGCGCUCAUAUAAGUUUUUGUGAAACUCUUUUACUGUCAAUGGUUGUGUUGGUUUGUCUUAAGUUUUAAAAUAGCCUAUAGGUGUAUUUCCCCCCCCCCCAUACACCUAUUCCAGAGCUUCCGGGACCUAACAACUAGUAUUGAAAAAUUUUGUUUGUGUCAUACAAAAUACCGUAAUCAUUGACAUAGUGAUUAACAAUGGUUGAAAUCAGCGUACUGUACACUGACAGCUAAAUUGACAGGAGCCAUUUAAUUGAAAUCCUUGUAUAUUUGCGCAAAUUCAACGUGUAGAAUAGACUAAUUUGGCGCAAAAAUAUAAUUAACGCAAAAAUGUAUUUUAAAUAUUGAUUUGCGCAAUUUUCUCGUUCCUCAAUUUGUGCAAAAAUGCAAUUUACACAAAUUCGAGCACUUUUCAGAAUUUUCGCAAAAUUCCAUUAUUUCCGCAAAUUAAUUCUAGUAAUUCCGCAAUAAUUUAACAAUUCACGCAAACUUUGGAAUUCUGAAAAUUAAUAGUUCAAUUUCACGCAAUAGGAAUAAUUUGACUCAAAAUAAUAAUAAAGUUCACGCAAAAACCUUGCAAUUGUACACGCAAAAAAAGUUCCACGCAAUAAUUUCACAAUUCACGCAAAAAAAAAAAAUUAAUUUUACAAUUCACGCAUAAUACUUUCACAAUUCAAGCAAAAAUAUAAAUUUAACAAUGUAAUUGAGGCACCAUUUCAUACACAAUUCAUGCAAAAAUAUAACAAUGAAAACACAAUUUUGCGUUAAUUUUGCAUACACAUUUCACGCAAAAAUAUAAAAUUGAAAUUAGUACAACACAUAUUAAUACAAGUCUGAAAUGUGUGUUGGUGAAUUUACGCAACAAUGUUCAAUUCACGCAAAAAUUGACAAAUUAUACAUAUCACGCAAAAAUGUAAAUUUAAUGUAAAUAAAUUCGGUCAACAUAAAUAAAGCAUAUUCAAACUGACAAAUUCAGAAGCACAAAUAUUUAGGGCACAGAUGCUUGUACCAAAUAUUAAUAAAAAAAUGAAAUAGUUAUGAGAGGUAUUGAAUUUAAAAAGUGGGUAUUGUGUGAAUAUAAUUUGAGAAAGUUAGGUACUUUCAUAUAUUACCACAUAAUUAUAGAUUAAAAAUAUAAGUAAGCACUGUUGAUGUUAUGAGAUUAAAAUAAAAAAUAAAACUGAAAAUGUAUUAUAUGUGUCUAUAUAAGUAUAACUAUGUUAAAAAAAAUUAUCGAUCAAAAAAUAAAUAUAUGACUUUAAGUUAUUUAAAAUAUUUAAAUGAUAAAAUAUGAUAAUUAUAUAUAUAUAUAUAUAUAUAUAUAUAUAUAUAUAUAGUGUGNNNNNNNNNNNNNNNNNNUCCUACUACUAUAUAUAUAUAUAUAUAUAUAUAUAUAUAUAUGUAAUAUAUAUAUAUGUGUUAUCAGUUUAAUAUUAGAACCUCACAAUAAAUUUAAGUAGUCAUUUAUUUACGUUGUCGAAAUGUAUUUGUUGAAGUUUAUUUUGAGCCGAUUCUUGAUUGAAAAAGAUAAUGACUUGAAUUGUAUAUAUACCAAUAGUUGAAAUAAAGUAACUAACUAUCCUUAAUAUUAAUAUGUAUUUAAAUGGAGUGAUUAUGAGAUUUUAUAUAAAAAUAUAAAAAAAGUAUAUUUUUAUUGUAUUUAUAAUUUUUUAUAUAAUAAUUGAGUUAAUAUCUAUUUUAUAUAUAAAAAGAAGGGUAAAUAUCUGUUUCUGACUUAUUGGUUGGGCAUUUUCUCAAAAAUGUCCUACCCUAAAGAUAAUUACAAAAUCAUACCAUCGUUCCAUUUUUUUCCUUGUUUAUGGCCUGCAAAAAUAAUUCGACGAUCGAUAUUUGACAUAACCAAUUGUCACGUUGUUAGUACACGUGUAAUACUAAUAAUAUAAAAAAACAACAUAAAUUCCACAUAGAAAAAACGCAUCUAUACGUAAAGGAAUAGACUUGAACACACAAAAACGUUUUCUCAAGAGAACCCUAUCACUGGCGGAUCUAGCAUGGUGCAUGGGGGUGCAACUGCAUCCCAAAAAAAAAAAAUUAAUAGUAUUAAUAUUCAUAUAUAAAUUAUUUUAUAUUUAAGGUUUGCACCCCAAAUAAAAGUUUUAAUCCUAAAUUCAGUUUUUAAAAUCCUAAAUUCCAUUGGCCCAACUAAAAAGAGAGCCAAUCAUCUCUUUCUUUUUCAUUCUUUUGAUCGAGCCCAUCAGUUAAUCAAUCCUUUACCUCAAUUCUUAAUUAAAUAAAAAAAAUUGAACCUACAUAUUUUGUAUUUGGAAUGCAGAGUUAUUACUAAUUGUAUUUGUAUUUUAGUAAAAAAAAAAACAAAAAAUGUCUAAAAUGUACUGAAGGCCUAAAAAAAAAAUCCCGGGGGCUACCGCCCCCGAACCCCCGUAAAAGUUCAACCCCCUCAAAAAAAUCCUAGAUCCGUCAGUAUUUAUAAGAUUAUUUUUUGCACCCCCAGUUUUUUAAUCUUGGAUCCGCCACUGAACCCUAUUACCAUUCCACCUACUAAGAAUCUCAAUCGUUCUAAAGUAUUCCUCAUUCACCUGUAGAUAUUUAAUGAACACUAGUAACUAACAUUGGCAUAAUGAAACAUUGACAUAUUAUAUGAGUUUGGAGAUGAAAUAUAUAAUCAAUAAAAUAGGGUUGUAGGAGUUGCACUAACAAAACCCUGAAUUACCUCACCAUCAACUAUUAUCUCAAUCAUCCUUGGCAACAUAAUGUUGUUCUUGAAAAAUUUAGCCAGUUUUGAUUCAAUUGCCUGAUAAAUUGCAUGAACAAGAACUUAAUGAAAUCUACUGUAGGGGCAUGUCGAGGCCCGUCGUCAAGACCUCAGGUAAAAUGAUAUUUGUAAUUUAUUGUGCGCUGCAAUCAAAAUCAGUUAAUGGCAAGUAUAAGGUCGAACCCGCAAAGAGUCGGUGUAUCUUGGUACUCCGUAUCACAAAAGUUGAUGGAAUGCACUUUGGUCUAAGUGUCAGGAUUAUGGUCUAGAACAUAAUGUACACUUUGAUUGUAUAUGAAAAACUGAAAUAAAACACAACAAAAUAUCAAUAAUAAACGAAACAUGGUUUGAGCAUAGUCUAGUUAGGUAUGGGUGUAUUUUCGAUCAUCGGUUCAAGGAUAUUCACAGCGCCUUCAUGUCAUUGGUUAUGAGCCGUUUGAUUAGUGGGAUGUGCCCCCAUUGUCACAUUAUCACGAACACAAGCUUAAUCAACCCUUAUCCGCGCCCUUCGUAUUGGGUGAAAGUGGUCUACUUUCAUCCCUCUGCCUUGGUAGAUUCCCUGCAUCAAAACUUGAGUUUGCGGGUAUGCCCAGAACGCAUUACUAAGUAGCAUACUCAAAUGGUCACAGGCAUGCUCAGAGGCAUACUACCACCGCCCGCAUCAGCCACACUUCACGGAAUGGGAGAUCUCCACACUUUUGCCUGCGUACUGUUUGUAACUUGGUUUUGCCCAAUCACAAUUGAUUUUACCAUCUGGGCAAAAUUCACAAUUGAUCUUAAUUCUUAAGCAAUCACAAUUGAUUUUACCAUCUGGAAAAAUUUCACAAUUGACAAAAUUCAAAUCUUAAUUCUUAGAAUUUUGACCAAGAAGAGGUUAGGUUUGUCUUAGCUUACAUUAUCGUUGAUGAGCAUCCAUUUAAGUAUGUCGAAAGAGAGGGAUUUCAAUACUUUGUUUCUAAGGCUUGCCCAAGAUUUAAGAUCCCAUCUAGAUGUACCGUUUCACAUGAUUGCUUUAAGUUGUAUGAGAAUGAAAAGAAUUUGUUUAUGACAAUACUAAAAUCCACCAACCAAAGGGUUUGUCUUACCACAGAUACAUGGACAUCUACUAAGAAAGAGAAUUACAUGUGUUUGACUGAUAAUGAUUGGAAACUGCAUAAAAAGAUUAUUAAUUUUUGUCUAAGUUCUAGUCACAGAGGUAGAGACAUUGGUUGGAAAUUUGAAAAAUGCUUGCAUGAUUGGGGAUUGGAGAGGGUGUUCACUAUUACAGUUGAUAAUGCUUCCUCAAAUGAUGUUACAAUUGGUUAUUUGAAAGAAAUUGUUAGUCAAUAGGAGGAAAAACAUUAGAAACUGUGAUCAUAUGCAUAUGAGAUGUAUUGCUCAUGUAUUUAAUUUAGUGGUGCAAGGUGAUCUUAAAUAGAUUGGAUCUUCUGUGAAAAAAAAUUAGAAAUGUUGUUCGGUUUGUUAGACAUUCUGGUGCUAGAUUGCUUAUGUUCAAGGAAUAUUGUGAGCUGGAAAAAAAAUUUAAGUAAGAGUUUGUUGUGUUUAGAUGUUCCUAUUAGAUGGAACUCGACAUACUUGAUGUUGAAGGCUGCAAUAACAUUUGAGAAAGCAUUUGCUAGAUUUGAUGUGUUAUACCCGACAUAUGGAAUUGAUCUUGUAUGUUAGGAGGGGGUACCUAACAAAGCUGAUUGGGUGAAAGCAAGAAAGAUGCUCAAUUUUUUUGACAUUUUAUCAUGAUGGAAAACGAAUGAAUCUAAAUAUCCCGUUCUCUCCAAAGUGGCUCGUGAUGUUUUGGCAGUACCUGUCUCAACUGUAGCGUCAGAGGCAGCAUUUAGCACUGGAGGAUGAGUACUUGACCCAUUUAGGAGUUUGUUAAGUCCUAAAGUUGUGGAGUUUCUCAUUUGUGGUCAAGAUUGGCUUCACAACUCCUACCCCAAUUGAUGUUGAGGAACUUUAUGAAGAUGUCCAAAAAAUUGAACAAAGUAUAUGACUAUUUAAACUACAUUUUUUUAUAUGUUUUCAAAUUUACGAUUCUCAAUUAAUUUGUAUUAUUGUUAUGUAUAAUUCUAUUUUUUUUAUUAUUUGUGAGUAUGCAAAUUUGAUAGUGCAAGCUCCAACAAAUUAAUCAAUCUCCAUUAAUUGUUGGAACUUGAAAGCUAUUGAAGAUGAUUAGAUGAAUGUUUAUUGAUUUUGAGUUUUGUUAACAUUGAAAGUUUGGACUCUUUUUUUUGUAGUUUGAUGGUAAUUUGUUGUUGAUUUGAUGGAUAUUUAGAAACUCUUUGGUUUGUUGGUUAUGGAUGUUCUUGUAUUUAUUUUGGUGGAUGUGAUGAAUGGAUUUAAUACUUAUGCAAAUCAUAAUUAUUAGGUUGUUAUAUAUACAUCUUUGUUCUUGAAAUGAAUGAUGAAUAAUGAUAAAAUAUAGUAUAAUAUAAUUUUGAGCAGAUUUUUUUUUAUAUAUAAUUUUUUUCGGUUUUCUUAGAAUUUUUGAUUUUUUUCAGUUUUGUUUUUCGAUUUUUUCGAUUUUUUCAGAUUAAUUCGGUUUUUCAGUUCGAUUCGAUUUUAAUUUUAAAAGUUUCGGUUAAUUCGGUUCGGUUUAUUCGAUUUGGUUUGAUUUUUUUAAACCAAACAUUAAUUUGAUUUGAUUUGGUUUUAGCAAAAAUCAAACCAUAUAACCGAAUGCACAUCCCUAGUCCUUAUCCCUUGUAUAACUGCUGCAAUCUAGUCCUGAAAACUGCCAAUCAGUCUGCAUAAUGCUGGUUGAGAUCAUGCUUCUGAAAAGUAGGAACAAACUAGCCCACUAUCUUUAGGCCAUGAUAAAACCAACUUCCAUUUAUUCGAACGUGACCAACUCCACAAGACACAUUAUUCAUGCACUAAAGAAUAUGAAAACAUAAAAGAUAGGGAAAGAUAAAAUACGUGCAAUUACUACUAGUGAGUUGAAGUACAACUUCAAGACAGACACCCGAAAUAUUAGUUGUAUAUCGAAAAUGUUAAUAACAAAAUGUUAUCAAUAUUUCAUUAAACACUGAUGGAGCCAACAUUGACUCUAACAAAAACAUUAUUCAAAUACACAUUUCCAUGAAAUCUAGAUUAACAGCAACCCCAUAAAUCAACUUCGCCUUCUCGACGCCAGAAGUCAUGAUGCACAUUUUAAUGAUGAAUGUGAACGUCAUUUUAUUCACGCCAAUACCUUGAAAAAUCAUCAAAUUGUUAACCUAAAUCGCUCAUUAAUGUGUGUUCUGAUUAACAGAUUCCAAAUGAACGUGGACAUAUAUAUUAUCAAUAUGUUGGAACAUUAGGGCGGUGUAAUUGAACUCCCAAUAUAAAGUACAAAGGCGAAUCAAUCUGGCGACUAUUACUUGGUCGUUGUGGAGAAUGUUGUGGGUGAUUUUGGCGUGGAUUUGUCAUGCGAAAUUUGGGUUUUUAACUCAAUGCGAAAUUUAUCCUGUAAAAAGAUUGAGUUUUUGGAAAUAAAAUAUCUAGUGUGAUAUUGUUUUAUUCAGUAAAAAACAAAGUUUUAUUGGUGGUGGGAUGUUGAGUCCACCUAGACAAAUUCUGACUUCCACGUCAAUUUUAAAUUUGAGAAUUUAAUUUCAUAGAAAAAUCAUAAUAAAUUGAACUUUUAUAUAUUACUAGCAUUUGCAUCCCGUGCAAUGCACGGGAAAAUAUUUUUUAUUUUUUAUAUUUAUAUAAAAAUUAAUACUAAUUUAAUUAUCAUACUCAUAAAUAUAAUAAAAUUUAAUUUUAACUAAAUAUAUUUGAAUUGAAUAUUAAAAAAUUUAAAAAUAAUAAGAAUUUACAAUUAUAAAAUUUGAUAUUAUGAAAGCAAAAAAAGUAAAAAAUAAAAAAAAUACUAAUAAAAAAUUAAAAAUAUAUUUUUUUUCAAAAAGAUGAGAAAUGCGAGAGAAAAUUAUAAAAUUUUAAUAUUUAAACAAAUUUAAUUUUUACAUUUAAAUCAAAUAUUUACAUAAAACAUAUCAAAUUAAAGCUCUUAUCGUGAUCUUUAAUUUGAUAUGCAUAUUAAAUAUUUUAUAAUUAAUCGAAUUUCACAAUUUUGGUAAGAAAUAAAACAACAAAUAAUAAGUUAAAGAGAUGAAAAAUAAAAAGAAAAAUAUAGUUUAAACAUAAACCUUUAAUUUUAUUAUAACUAAUUUUUNNNNNNNNNNNNNNNNNNNNNNNNNNNNNNNNNNNNNNNNNNNNNNNNNNNNNNNNNNNNNNNNNNNNNNNNNNNNNNNNNNNNNNNNNNNNNNNNNNNNNNNNNNNNNNNNNNNNNNNNNNNNNNNNNNNNNNNNNNNNNNNNNNNNNNNNNNNNNNNNNNNNNNNNNNNNNNNNNNNNNNNNNNNNNNNNACUAAUAUCCCUUAAAUUAUGAACAUUGAUGUUAGCACUUAGCACACCGUGCGUUUACUCGAAUAAAAUACACGAGACACCAAAAUCUCCACAUAUUCCGCAACUAAAACACUAUAAAUUAGUGAAACGUAACAAUUAUUAUCUCUUAUCUAAAAUGAAAAACAAAACAAAGAUCUAGAAGGCCGGUCGGUCAAACCUCAAACUGUUACUCGGAAAUAGUUUGUGAAGUCCAAGUAAUUUUUAGGAAUGUUCACAUUAUGGAUGCACAAUUAUGAUAAAAUAAAUAAAGAUUAUAGAUUUAUCCAAUUUAAAUAAUAAAAGUCAUCAAUAUAUUCAAUUGAGAAUGAUUUAAUAAUAAAAUGAAUAUCUAUAAAUUUAAAGGUCUUGAAUUUAAACACUUUUACAUAUUCAAGCUUAUAAUAUCGAUUUUAAAAAUAAUUUACCCGUCUUGUAUAAUUUACAGACUAUUACACAUAUGUGGUUCAGUCAACACGCCAAAAAUAGUGGUUGCAGUUUCCUUAAAAAUAAAAAGAAAUCUCAAAUCUCAAUUCCUUGUGUUUUAAUUUGAUUUUAUAUUUUACAGUUAUUAGAAUGGCAAAUGCAUGUAUCCAUUAAUUUAUUGAGUAAAUUAAAUGUAUAAAUAUUUUUAUACAUAUAGUGGCCUGGUGGAAUAAGAGAAAAAUGUUUAGAGCUCCUCUAUCUUUUUUAUAUUUAUAUGAGAUGGAUUAUUAUAUACAAAUUCAUAGGAUUUGCUUUCAUAUUCGUGGCCGAAGGCUCGAAGCCUACCCCGACCUCCGCCACUACAUAUACAUUUAUUUUGUUUAAAUGAUGAAAACAAAUUAUGCUAUUGUCAAUUCAAGUCAAGUUUGUUUCGGUUCUAUCUCACAAAAGUAGCUAGAAAUUAUGGAUCAAGUAUAACCUUUUAAAUAAUAAUCUUGAAGAUAGAUUUUAUGUGACAAUAUUAAAUCCAACUCGAACUCGAUGAUAGUAAUAACUAAUAAAAGAACAUAAAAUGAUCAAUUUACUAGAUUUUGGUUCAAAUGUGGCUCAAUUAAACAUCAAUUUUAAUUUUACCAAAUAAAUUCAAUUUUGAUAAAAUUGAACAAAUCUAAUAGUAGUAAAAUUAAAACCACACUAUAUAUAAUCCGUUCGGUUCAAUCCAUUUAAUAAAGUGAAAUAACAUACUCGUAUAUGUAAACUUUGGCGCUUAGUCUUGACAGAUAAAAGUAACAAGAUUAAUCUUUUGCUUAUUUUAAUGAAUUGAAAUUUUGAAUAUUUCAAAAAUUUUGAUUAUUUUUAUUAUUUAAAUUAAUUUUAUUUGAUUCAUAUCUUAUUAAAAAAAUAAAUUAAAAAAAGGUAUAAUAAUCAAGUUCAAUCGUACAAAGCAAAUGUCUUGUGCCCCUCUGAUCGAAGAAACACACACAAGAGAAAUUUAUUCCGAAAUCAUGCAUAUAUUGUGGCAGGCACAUAUCCGUCUCUAUAUAUGUAAGCAAUAUUCUUGAUUAGUGGAUAUGAAUAGUUGCACAUGAAGCCAACUAUUGUCUCUCAAAGUCAAAGCCAACAACAGCCAAACAAAAUUUUCGUCAAACCUAAACCAAUAAUCUCGCAAUAUUAACAACCAUUAAUUUAAAAAAUAAAAUAAAAAAUGGCAAAAAGAAGAAGCAAUUCUCUCAUUAGCUGACACCAAACCAGUGCAACACCGACUAUAAACCAGUGUCAUCAUAAUUGAUAAUGCUAUAAAAUAGGAGGAGAGAGAAAGAGGAGAGAGAAGCAGGGGAGGGUCUGCAAAGCAACCUCUCUUCUUUGGAUCUCUCAAUUGUUUUAAUAUAUCAUAGUUGAUUUCAAUAGGUACAGGUAUUUGAUUCAGGAGAGAAAAACAUAAAAAAAGAAAAGAAAAGAAAAAGUGGGUAUUUUCUAUUGUAAUUUGCUGGCCCAUUUUGUUUGUCUUAUAUGUUCUCAAUUUUCUUGAAAAGGUGAUUGAUUUAGGAUCCCUUUUUUGUGUAGUAGUCAAUUUUCUUUUUUCUUUUUAAUUCUUGGUUUGUUUCUUUGAGAAAAAAGUUAUGAGCCAAGUUCGUGCAAAUUCAUCUCCUGACUUGGAUUUUCCCAGUACAGGAAAGGAUCAAAGAUAUGAUGAUUUGGCAUUACAAGGUACAAAUCUUGAUUUUUCUUACGUUGUAGUAAAUGAAAUUUUUUAUUUUUGUUUCUCAAUUUGUUUCAUUAUAUGUCAUGUUGUAAAGUUAUGGCAAUUUCAAUUUGAGAUAUGGAAUUAUGUUGUUUUUAUUGUUCUUGCGCGCGCUCUCUCUCUUUAUCUCUCUGCAAAUCUUGAUGUACAACGUUGUAUUAGGCUUGAUUGUGUUGUUAUUUUGUUUUUCCUUAUUUUUUUUAUUUUUUUCAGACGUAGUAAUAAUCUUGAAUUCAUUUUUAAUUUGAUGUUGCAAAGUUGUGGGUAAUUUUAGUUUAAAUAAGCAAUUCUCUCGUAUUUUUUUGUUUUGCUAUGUUUUUGUUGUUCUCAAUCUAAUGAUAUCGGAAUGAAAUCUUGAUUCUUAGGGAGAAAAAAAAAAAGACAAUUCAUGAAAGUGAUGAACUAUUCAAGUGUUUGAUUGAUGGAUGUUAAAAAAAUUGAAUUGAUAUUUCAGGGGUAGCUGCAAAUGUAAAAUUACUGCUAAAACUAAUCCAAGAUCAUCAAUUAGCCUGUGAUCAUGACAAAAGUGAUCAUAGGAGAAUGUUGAGGGUAGCUACAAUGAUGACAAUUUUGGAUAAUGCGAAGGACAGAAUCCAGAAAUGCCAAUCAUUUGGCCUCAAGAAACCGGAUUCCGAGCUGAGGAGGUGCAACACCGACUUGCGCCGCAAUCCCGUCCCUCCGGGCAAAAAGCCCAGUGGUGGGGCGGGGGCGGUGGCCGUGGUGAUCGAGGAGGAGGAGGUGGACGAGGAGAAGGAGCGGUUGAGGCGCGAGCUGAGCUCGAGCAUAGCCGCUCAGAGAAACCUCAGAGCGAUGUGCUCGAGUUUAGGGAAGGAGAAGAAGUUCAUGGAGGCAGAGCUUUCCAAGAAAGUGCAUGAAUUGAGUGAGAUGGAGGAGCUUUUGAACAAUCUCAAGGCACAAAAUGAGACAUUGCGCCAAAAAGUUCAAGAAUGCCUCUCCGAUCACAAGGAGAGGAAGGCCGGUGGUGGUGGCGGAGAAAUGAGCGUGGCGUUGGUGUUGCAAGAGCGGAACAAGGCGCUCUCGGAGCAGUUGAUGAGGUCUCUUGAUGGUUAUAGAUCGAUGAAGAGGAAGCUCAAAGUGGCGCAAGAAGAGAAUACUAUGCUGCAUUCGACUGUGGAUGAGGUUGGGGCCAAAGUUGUGGGAAGUUUGGAGAGGGUUAAGAGUUUGAAGCAACGAGUGACCACGACGACAUCUCCUUCUGGGGGCGAAAUCCCCCUCGAUCUUCAGGAGGAGAUCGAGGGGUUAGAGGGCAUGUUUGAGUGCUUCCAAAUGUUGGUGGAGAAGCACGAGAAGAGGCGGGGCGACUGCGCGCAACCAAAUGGCGAGAUCAAUGCAUAUAAGCCCUCCGUUCUCGCAUGAGACUGGACCAAAGGAUUUUGGAGGGACUAACUUGAAUUUUUGUUGCUAGUAUUUUUGAUUUUUUGCUUUGGAUUAGUUUCUUUUUUGAUGCGAUGGCAUUGUUUGAAGAUGUGAUAUUGUCUUCAUUGUGUGUGAAAAAAAUAGCUGAUGAUUUCUAUAGGUCAUUAGCAUGUAAAUAGUUGUAUCAUAGUCUUCUUGUUUGAAGGCAACCUACAAAACAUUGGUUUUCUAGUAUAGAACAUUUUUAAGUGAAUGUGAUGCUAUGUUGCUGCUGGAAACUUUCGUGAUGAAAUAUUGCAAUCAUCAAGAAAAUCAUGUUUACGAUGUUUUAUGUAUUGGAGAUGCUCACUGAGUAAAUUAAUUUUAACAAAGAAAAGAGAGAAAAACAUCAAUGUUUAGAGUUUUUAUGUUUUUUUUAGUAAUUGAACGAGUUGCAUUGCUAUUCAAUCUAAUACUAUCUAAUUGGACAUCGAUAAAAAGAAUGCAUUUCAUGCGCAAGACAUUACUCACUAUAUAGAUUGGAGUUAAUCAUGAUUACUAGGAAUGACCAUUACCAAUAUAAAGUAGUGAAAACUAUCAAUCAAAGAGUUCCCAUUGGUUUGCAGAAGGAGAUGGUUCAAAUGUUUCCCAUGUAGUUGUCACAACCGAAGCUGGUACUUUCUGCUUCGCGUUUAGUACCUUCAGCACAUCCAGUUUUUCCACACACUUCUGCACUAUUUUUCCCUGCAAUAUAAUUAUUUUAUUUUAUUUUAAUUUAAUUUGCUCUUACCUUAUUUUUCAUAUAAAUCUGCAUUAGAGGUUUUUACAAUAAGAUAGUUAACUUUGUAAUUAAAAACCUAAAGUUUGUGCGAACUUAACUAUCAAAGUGUGACAAUCGAUAAAUAUAUAGGGGAUGGUCAAAACAUUAAUUCUUGCAUCAAAUGUCAACCGGAUAUAAUAAUAGGAAUGGUUACAGUUUAAUAGUAUUCAAACUAUGGACUAAUUGUGUAUAAUUUUAGUUAAAUAUUCCAACUAAUUGAUCUUGUAAUGAGAAUAUUCCAAACUAUACAUAAUUGUAAUUAAAUACUCGUACUAUCACAAAAUUAACAAAAAUACCCCAAAAUUCAAUCUUCAAUCACUUCACAGUUCGUUAGAUCAUGAUGUGGAUUUUAAAAAAUAAAUUAAAAAUGAGCUAGAUCAAAAGUCAAAACAACGUUACGCUGCUUUAGUGCAUAGAAGUUACAUAUAAAAGAAAUUGAACGAGCCAAGUAAUCUUUUCGCAACUGAAAAUUGAAUAUUUCUGUUAAUUUAUUUAGUGAUACUUUGGAUAUUUAAUACUGGUUAUGCUACGUUCAUAAAAAAUAUAAGAAUAAAGUGUGGUUUCGUGUCCUAAAACAAAAAACCAUAUACUCUUCCUAGAUAUCCAAUAAGGUAAUUGCGCCACACUAUUAAUGAACGAUGGAGUGAGUAAUAGUAAUUCAAGACAUUUUUGUGAAAAUAUCAAAAAAAUCGAAUACUACUUAACUACAUUAACGAGCAUGACAUUAUUGAAUACUUCAUCCAUCCCAUUUUAUUUGAUUUAGUUCUUUUGAAUACGAUUAUUUAAAAAAAUAAAAUUAUUAUAUGAAAAGUAUAUGAUUUAAUAGUAUUUAAUAUAAUAUUAAUUGAUUUUUUGAAAAAAAGAAAAAGAUAAAAUCAAACGAGACGGUUUAGAAAAAAAAAUAAGAAGUGUAAUUAAAUAGGAUGGACUAGGUAAGAAUUGAGAUGAAGAAAUGUAAAAGGAAGGGAUAAGGAUAAGCAUACUUGUGAGUCCUUGUAUGCACAUGCAUCAGCAGCCUCGGCAGCAGGAAUGUUAUCUAGUUUGACAGCUUGUUGCAUCAGCAUCUCGAUCAACGUUGUGAUCUGUAAUUCUGCUACUCUUUUCCCAUUUGCAAUUGAUUUCUCUAUUACACUUACCUAUAAUCCAAUGGAGAUAUCAAUUAUUUUAUUAAUUAAUGAUCUACAUGAUGGAUAUAUUUCUUCAAUGUACUAUAAAAGAUAAGGGGAAUAUUAUACUUUAUGACUUCAUCAUUUGGGUAAGUUUAAACAUAAUAUGACAUUUAACAUCUUUAAUAAAAUUAUACUAAUAAAGUCCUCAAUAAAACAUCAAGCGAUACGAACUUUUAUGUGUGAACAAUAAAAUUUAGGGUUCAAACUCCAUCGUUUCCCCUUCUCCAAGUAUAAAUAAAAUAAAAUUAUAAUAAUUAAUAAAACUCUAGUUUAAGUGAUAAAGUUGAGGUAUCAAAAUUUUCUUUUUGUAAAAAAUUAUUGAAUCAAGUUUCAUAAAUAUUGUGUAAAUUAUAUUUAUGGAUAGUAUUUUUAAGUAUUUAUUUAUUUAUUUAUUUAUUCUAGUUUAUACUAGUUUAAUUGUUGAUUUGACUACAGUACUAGCUUAUUCAAUUCAUUGUUAUUUAUAUUCAAUUUCAUAAUAUAAUAAUAUACUAUGUCAUUUUUGAAAAAAUGCCAAACUAGGAUUCAUAUAUUUUUUUAGAGUAAUGCUAAACAGCCACAUUAUGGCCACCCACAAUUUAUAUAAAUAAAAAAUAAUUUAAUUUAUUUAAUUUAUUUUUUUAAAGAAAAAUAAGAUUUAUUUUAUUAUAUUCUCUACACUGUAGUUAUUUUUUGCAAUUUUUUGGUAACUUUUUUAUUUUUAUUAAAAAAUAAAUUAAAUAAAUUAAGAUUUUUCUUAUUAUACUAGUGUGUGAGUGGCCAGAAUGUGGCUACAUAGAUUUAUUGAUUUUUUUAAUAGAUCAUUAAUUAUUUGUUAACUAAACCACCUAAAAGAAGCAUUUUCAUGAUUGAGAUGGAUUGAUUAUACUAUCAUCUUCUCUCUUUUUCGAUAAACAAAUAAUCUUAAAGAUCGUAUGACGAUUAGGUAUCACACACAAAGCUCUAAAUUUUCCUUCUUUUAAAAUUGCCGCCCCUGAAGAUCGCCUUCUCCGUCACCGCACAGUUGCAUCUAAAGGUCGCCGCCACCUUCAUCCACGAGGAAAGAAUGAUGACCUUCUGUAGAAACGAGGCCUUAAUAUGUGUGCCAACUGGGUCAUAAACCCUAAAAUUCCCAGAUCUAGCAACAACGAGGAAAGAGAGACAAGAUGUGGCGGGUAGAGAGAGGGGAGGUGGUGCAAAAGAAUAGAGGGAAAGAGAAGAGGUUGUGAUCGACUGUCGAUGCGGUGGUGGGAGGUGAGGCAUGAGAGAAAGGGAAGUUGGAAUGAGAGAUAGGAUAGGAUUUAGGUUUAAAUAUGUAACGUAAUUAAGUUCUAAUUAUAUCAGUAAAUAGACCAUUAUAUUUAGGACAAUACAAUAAAGAAUACAUGUUAUCAAUAUUGAGAUGAAGGGAACACUAUUUUAUCGUACACUGCUCUAGUUGUCAUUACGUGUAAAUUAAUUAAUUGUACUCUUGCUAUCAAGUUAGAAGAAAAACAAGUAUUUAUUUUCUCUGCAGGCCACAAGACUUCGAAACGGAUGUUAAGAAAUAAAUAUUUAUAUUAAAAUAGGAGUUUUUUUAGGAUAUAUUUAUCAAAAAAAGUGAGAGAAUUGAAGAUAUCUUUUUAAAAUGAGAAGAGGGAUAAUUAUGUGUGAACCACAAUAUCAUAUGAUAUAAAUAAUAAAUUAUGCAAGACUAUCUGUUAUGUAUUAAUUUUUCAUUUUAUAAAAUGACUUAUUAAAAUAAGACGUUUAAAUAAUAAAAUAUAGCCUAUUGUAUUGGUUUGGUCCAAAGAAUUAUAAAACUAGAUAGUCAAAACUCAAAAGUAAUAAACUAAAUUAGCCACCAAUUUAAUUAACAGCUGUUACAGGUUGUUUAAUUUAAUUUUACCAAACCGACCCUAUAUUAAAUCACUACAGUUGACAGCUAAACGUUGCAGUACUAAUAGCUUUGUCACCUACUACAGGUCCAUCUUUUUUCUAUUAUUAAAUAAAAAAAUAGUUAUACCAAAAUUCGAAAAAUGUCAGGUAUAAUCUAUGCUUUUUUGACAAUAAAUCUACCAGGACACAUUUAUUUGACAGAAAAACAAUAUUAAAUAAAAAUGUAAUUUUAGAAAAUUAAUUUAUCAGAAGAAAUAAUAGAUUUCUUAUGCUACAUUUGCAAAUAUCAAAAAAACUAUUAUGAUUCUAAUUUUUUAUUAAUUAAUUAAAUAUAAUUUAUCAAUAUAUAUAUAUAUAUAUAAUUAAAUUGUAAUUAAUUAGCAUGCAAUAAAAAAUUAGUAAAAUUAAAUUGAGAUUUGCUUAAUAAUAAUAAUAAUAAUAAUAAUAAUAAUAAUAAUAAUAAUAAUAAUAAUAAUAAUAAAUGUAUAAGAAACAACUUAAAACAACUAAAUAGAAACUAUAGUUUGUAUUUCAAAAAAGUAAUAAAAAUAAUAUUCAAGCAUGUAAGAAGAAUGUGAAAAAACAAAAAAGAAUACCUAAACUAUGUUAGGAAUAACAUUCUUAGAAAGUUGUAGUACUAUUUUUCCUCUUAUAAUGAUUCUUAUUAUUUCCAUUGUUUGAUAGAAAUCAACCAAACACAUGAAUUUAAAAUUAUGAAAUUAGAUUAAAUGCCAGAGUACAUGUCAAACAAACGAAUUUAUAUACUCACGAAGCUUAUUAUACAAAAAAAAUAAAAACAGAUUAACGAAAUUAUAUUUAUUAUUCAUUUACUUUCGAAUUACUAUCGUAUUUAUAGAACAUACUAUCGUAUAAAACAAAUUAACGAAAUUAUAUUGAACAUACUAUCAUAGAACAUGUCAACACACAUGACACAUCUACGUAUCAUUAUCAAUAAAAUAUAAUAGUAUUAAAUUUAUUUACUUUCGAAUUCCUAUCGAAUUCAUAGAACAUAAAUAUUUGUUUGCUAGUAUAGCAUCUACGAGACUUUAUUAAUGGAUAUUGCAUUCAUGCAACAUAAUGAAGGACAAAAUUGUAAAUUUAACUAACCUGCUCCACCAGCCUAUCGAUUUCCGUGGACACGUCGUCGAUCAGCCGUUGGAUCGUCUCGAUCUUGGCCUUCCGCCUCAUCUCGACCAUCCGCCGCUCCUUGCUCUCUGGAUCGUCGAUUAAGACGACUUUCGACCGAUCUUUGACCCCGCACGUGUCUAAAUAGUCGCCAUUUUCCCUCUCUUUCCCUCUGAAGAUCAGCCGCUGCUCCGCCGGCUGCAGCCCCGUCUCCGCCGUCAGCAGCGUCUUCAGCUCGCCUUUCCAAAUAAAAUUAAAAAUUCACCACAAUCAAACCAGAAAUUCAAUCCACAUUAUUAUUUUCUAUCACAAUUGAGAUAGAAAGAGAGAAUUAACCGAAAGUGGUUUGUGCAUUGACCGAGAUCUGACACAAAAUGGCGCCGUAUACCACUCUAAUGCGCAGAUUCGGCGUUGCGAGGUUUCCAGAAGCACUCUCGCUCCUCUUCUGCACCAGCAUUCCUCCCGGCCGCAUUUCCCACUCAACCGCCUCCGCCGCCGAAGAGGAGGACGAGGACGUCGUAGUAGCUGACUCCGCCGCCUCGCUGCGGCGGAACCUGCGCUUCAUCAUCUCCGGAAUCCUCAUGCAGAUAAAAGCACAGAAACUCGAAGAAAACUGAUCUGGAUCGAGCUUGUGUUGAUAAUGUGUGGUACCUCCACUCGAUCGAGGUAGAAGAUUACGAGGCGUAUGUUGGUGGAGCAGAAAUAACGAAAAUGGAUGGGAAUUGGAGCGAAUAGGAGAGCGCCACCAUUGAUGAAGAAAAACGGUUGAGUUGCAGUGACAGCUAAAGGAGGGUUGCCGACAAUUGAAGGGAAAUAUCGUUUUUCUGAAAAAAUAAUUGAAUGUGUAAUGUUGGUUGCUUUUGAUGGAGAUGAGGAUUUUGAAUGGGCCACUUGGACUCUUAUUAUUGGGGAUUCUUUUGGUGUAGGCCCAACCCAAACAUUUGUAUGUUUUUACUUUGUCGGUUUUUUUUUUAAAUAUUCAUUGAUGAAAGAUGGGAAAUAACUAAUUAUGCCGUGAAACUGCAAAAAUUUUAUAUAUGUCUUGCCUAAUUGUAGAGUGGUUCAUAUUCAAAUUAUUGUUAUACAAUUUAUAAAAUUAUUUGUCUAUUCAUGGGAAAAAAAAUUGUACUUAGUAUUUUCAGUACAAGUAGCUGGACUUGUAAUUUAGAUAACAAUUUUCUCUCAAAUAUGUUAUGGUCUAUUAGACAAUGCAUCAACGUUUAUUAUUAUAUUUUGGAAAUAAAAUAAAAUGAUGAACCCCAUCUUUGAAGGAGAUCAGGAGACAAAUUGUCAAACAUGCAGAAAUGAUUUAGGCUCUAAAACACUAUAUUUACAUUUCCAUCGUUAAAACGUAUCUCUUUAUAGUGAAAGCUAGUUUAGUGUAUUGCGAAUUAAAGCACAAAAUAAUUACAAAAAGUAAGAAAAACAUAUGAAAAUUAGUUACGGAUUUCACACUAUAGUUUUCAGAUACAAUUAUAGGAAAUAAUUAAUAUGGGUAUUUAUAAUGAAAAACAGCCCUAAAUUCGAUCCGGCCUAAAUUGAUACUCCCUCCGUCUUUAUAAAAAAUAUAAUAGACCCAAUCAAUCCCUAAUCGCUGCUAGUGUGACAGAAUCCACAGUACUUUCAAGCUUUAUAACUCGACAUAGCAUAAAAUAAAUUUACUUAGAAAUCAAUUUAGUGGAAGACUGUUAGAAAUGGAUAUUGGGCUCAUUCCUCCCUUAAAAGGCCUUGUAAGGGAGAGGGUUGCCUCACCAUAUAAAGUGGCUCAUGCCACUAUCUCCAAUCCAAUGUGGAACACUUCAAUACACCCCCCGCACGCGCAGCGUGGACUAUCCCAAACGCCAUCUGUUGACAACGAUAUUGGGGGGGCCCAUCAUUGGAUUGGGUUGGCUCUGAUACCAUGUUAAAAAUGAAUAUUGGGCUCAUUCCUCCCUUAAAAGGCCUUGUAAGGGAGAGGGUUGCCUCACCAUAUAAAGUGGCUCAUGCCACUAUCUCCAAUCCAAUGUGGAACACUUCAAUAAAGAUGAUCAUAUAAAUGUGUAAGUAUUAAUUGAUUGUUGAGAUCAAGCUGAUGCGCAUGCGACUAUAUAUGCUACUUUCUACUACCAGAUAAUAUAUAGCUUAAUUACUUGUUAUUUGCAUUCGAAGAUGAUUAUUUUGUUUUUCUUUACCUAUAUCUCGUAAUAUUAUAGUUAAUGAACUGAAAUUACAUGAACUGGAAUUUCUUUUUAUUUAUUUGAGUACCUACCUCAUAAAUAGUAGGUAUAACCGUAGAAGCAGCUAUAAUAAGAAACUUAUUGUCGAUAAGUACAUGAGCUGGCUCUUUAUGCGGUCAUUAGAUAUUUAGAUUGAAUUUUCAAUGCAACGUACAUUUUGAUUGAUAAAUUUAUAAAGAGAAAAUAAGCGAUUAUUAAAAAAAUCCUUUUUUUCCUCUCAUUUUUUACAAAAGAGAAUUUCACCUUUGAUUUCAUUUUCUUUUCACCAAAGAGCGAUAAUAUUAUCACACCAAAAAUGGAGGAAUAAUAUUAUCCCUUAUUGGAUUGAAAAUAUGGAAUGAGGAUGGUGAAAUUCUCUUUUGUUGAAAAUGAGGGAAAAGAAAGAAAAAAAUUUAAAGACAAUUUUUUGUUAUUCCUCAUUUUCUGAUCAUGAUAAAUUUAUCAAUUAAAGAGAACACUUCCUUAUUUGUAAAUGACUCAAGACGACGAGUAUAUGGAAAUAUAUCAUUUUAUAUCCCAAUAUUUAAACUUUUCUAUAAUAAAAUCUAAAUGUCAUUUUGUAUCUCAAUAUUGAAGUAUUGCAUCGACCAAAAGUUGUUCAUUGAUCAGUCUCACAGUAUAUCAGUUAAAGAUAUAAAAUAAAAGUAGACUGAGGCUUUGUUCUACAUUUAUUUUAAUGAGUAUCUUCACUUAAUCUUUCCAAUCAGUCUCUUCUGGUUCCACGCAUGUAUCACAACCAUGCUUAUCUUAUUCAACAAUCCAAAAGCCUUAAUAAUUUAUCCAAGCGUCUUCUCUCUUAAGAUUGGCAUGUAUCAUCACAAAAUUAUCUUGAGGCGCGGCGAGAAAAUACUUUGCCCAACAAUUUUAUCAUUUUAAGACAAUUCUCAUAUAUAUAUAUAUAUAUAUAUAUAUAUAUAUAUAUACUACUACGUUACUUACUUACGUUANACAAGAAAUUGAUUUUAAAUUAAAAUUUAUCUUUUUAAUAUAUAUUAUAAAUUAUAUAGAUCUUAUGAAUAGUUGUAUAUUCAAUUAGAAUUAGGAAUU